AAUACUUUUCACUCAAUGUCACAAUCUUAACUCUAAGACUUGUUUUGGAACGAAGUAUGAUUGACUUCUUGAUUUAACCAUUUCUUCAAUUCUUGAUUCCUCUUCUUAGACAUACAAUUGUACUAAGACUCACUUAGAGGAUCAAUUGAGAUAUGGUUCUUAAUCAUUAAGACCUAUCAUAAAGCAUAAAAGGUACUCUCCCUUCUUCUUAGAAUGGAGAAACUUUUAUCUUUCUGCCUACUUGAUUCUUCUUAUUCGUUCUGCUAUUGAUUUAAACUUUUUCAAUCAAUUCAGAAUUACACUUAAUCUUGUAAGUAUAAUCAUAUUUACUAAACCUUUAGUAAAUCAUGACGAAUAUCUUUGUUACUCUUAUGGUGGACUUGAUCAACACGCAACUUUGUGUACUCGAUCUCCUAGUCCUUCACUUGACACUUUGUCAAUGAAUUAGUCUAAUUUCCAAAUAUGAAAUUUCUCAUUCAUCGUGCAACCAAGUUGCAUGAUUCCAAGUUUCUGUCCAAUUGAAACUUGGGCGAUGAGAAACUCUCCCUAUUUGGUAAAUUCUCGACUUUCCAUAAAUAACAUAAUAAGAACCAAAUCCAUUAUUGCUAAUAAUAGAAACAUUCAAACAUCAAUUUUUCAUAUACGCCAUUGCAAGGAUAAAUAAAUAAUAUAAAAUCAAAAUUUAUUUUAUUGCGGAAAAAAUUUGUCCUUACAAUGCAAUUCAUUGAAAAACUAUGCUAAUACAUCUUUCUUAGCAAUCUAAUUCUAACUCUAAGUAGUAGCUCAAGAAUCUAAUCUUCGAGAAAUGCGAUCGAAAUCCAUUCCUUCACGGUUAGAUUCUGCUCACUUCUUCCCUUAAGCUUCCUUUCUUUUCUUCGAUCCUACAAAACAUCAAUUGUAAUCUUAUCACAUUAUGUAUUAAGAAUCUAGAAUAGAAGCUUAAAAGAGUUAGUUAAUGGAUUUUACCUAUAUUAGAGCCAUACGUUUCGACUCUCCCAUCUCUUAGAUCUCUUAGGUAAAUGGGGCAGCUUCGUCUCCAAUGCCCUUUCUCUUGGCAAUAAAAGCAAAUUGACUCUUUUGGAACAUGACAUGGAACUACUUCAGACAUUGCCUUUCUCUUAUGAUCAAACUUUUCGAUCAUAGCAUGUCUUUCGUUGCCAUUGUCUAUAUCCAUAGAGGUCUUGAAGGCAGAUUCACCAAUCAACUUUGCUUUUCUAUUGCGCCAAACCAUUGCUGAUUCAGCAGCAAUAAGCAUAUAGGUGAGAUCUAUAAGGGUCACGUCGCGGUUCAUCAUAUAGUACUCUCUUACGAACUCACUAUAUGAGUUAGGAAGUGACUGAAGAACCCAAUCAACAGCCAUUUCCUCACAGACAACGGAUCCCAACAUUCUUAACCUAUCAAUGUGUGACUUCAUCCCUAGGACGUGUGCACACACCGACUUUCCUUCUUUAUGUUUACUUGCCAAAAGGGCUUGAGUGAUCUUGAACUUUUCAAGCCUUUGAACUUGUGGGUUAGGGAGAAUAAUUGGAGGAGGUGGAGGAAGUGAAGCAUGAUUUCUUGUUCCUCGAUCGAAUCGUGGAAUAUCAUCUUCAUGUGGAAUGCUUGUUCCACGGGAUUUGGGAAGACCAUAGUUGUCGAACUUUGACAUCUACAAAACGGGAGAAAACGAAUUCAAGUUAGUUGAUUGAUUGAGUCCUUAGUAAAUCACCCAAAUGAGAUACUAAGGCUAGGACCCAACACAAUAUUCUACAACUCGGGAGAGGGAUGCCGUAACCCUAAUUGCAGAAUAUUUGAAGGUAAGUGAAUGACGAUUCACUAAUUUCCACCAUGAAAAACGAAAAAGAAAUUUAAGUUUUAAAUCUAUGAAAACUCCUAGAUCCUUUGAGAUUCAUUGAACUUUCAAUGGCAUGUUUAAAUCUCGAUAUGCCCCUCUUGUUUGUGACUGGGAUGCCGAGGAUCACAAAGCGGGUGUGAAUAACCAUGCAAACUUACAUGGUGCCCUCACAUGUUACAGUCACCUAUUCGAUGUGCCGGUAAACCACACACGCUCCACCGAACUAUGACAAACAUUGAGUCACCCUUUGCUACCUUUGCUUAGAACCAUUUAGUGUGCCGGUUAACCACACACGCUCCACUAACGUCUUCGCAAGGGCACAAAGUGUAAUUUCAUGGAAUUGCAUCAAUUCACUUUUGCCUAAGUAACUAAGAUUGGGAAUUUGUAAAACAUUUAGUUACUUUAGUAAUUCAUUAUACUUAUAAUGGAAGGUUUCGUCCUAUCCUACCCGUUCGGCUAACGACCCUCCACUAGUCAAGAGUGCGGUGGGUAAGAGUGGAUACCCAUUCAAUCGCCAUUUUAUAGGCAAUUUCCUUAAACACCCCUUAUAGACCAGCUUCGUGAAUGAGGCCUACUAACGGUAAGACUGACUUUUACUCAUACAUAUAUAUAAUGUUAGACUUUUAAUGUUAUAUAUAGUAUAGGGUGUAUUUUAUACUUUUAAAAUACUAGGUGGUCUAAUUUAACAAUUAUACUUUUAAUUCAAUUAAAUUGUAAACCUAAACUUUUAUGGAUUUAUUAAACAUCUUUUAAUUAUACACCUUAAUUAAUUAAUAAAACCAUAAGGGUGUGAUUUGAACCUUUUCAAAACAAUACUAGGGUUUUAGAAUUUAACAUUCCUAAUUAAACUUUUAAUCAACUUUUAAAUUCCAAAACUUGAGGGCAAGUUUUGAAACAUUUCAAAACAUUAGGGUUUAGAAUUUAAAUAUACAUCAAAAUUAAACUAUUAAUCAAAAUUUAAAUUCCAAAACUUGAGGGCAAGUUUUGAAACCUUUUUCAAAACACUAGGGUUUCAACUAUUUAAAUUUCAAAACAAUAAAACUUUUUGGGUUCAAAUUUAAACUAUAAAACGUAAAAGGGAAAAUAUGAAACUUUUCAAAGCACAAGUAUCAAAUAACAAAUAAUCUAAAUUAACAUUUAAUCACAUAAUUAUCCAUAUUUGAUUUAUUUAAUGAUUUCUUGCAAAACAAUUUACCAAUUUAAUCAAAAUAAUUAAUCAAUUAUCACAUAAGGAAACAAAUAUUUUAUUAAUUGAUAAAUAUCUUCAAUUAGAUCAAGAAUAUAGUCAAAUAUAUCAUAAAAUCGGAUUUAUAUUGAUCUAAUAUGAUAAGGCAACUAUCCUUAAGCAAAAACAGCAAGAAAUCCCGAAGUUUGCUCCAUCUGACGAGUUGACUCGUCGAGUCAAGCAUGGACUCGUCGAGUCAGCAUGGACUCGGCGAGUUCAGCUAUGGACUCGGCGAGUCCAGCCUCCAGAAACCAAAAAAUCGAAUUUUUCAAACAUAUAAAGCAUCAAUACAAUAGAAACCAGUCUAGGCUCUGAUACCACUGAUGGGUUUUGGUCCUAAGAACAUCCUAUGUGCUCAUACAAACCCUAAUGCUUGGAUCUAGGUUUCUCUAUUGUACAUGCAAGUUAUCCAAGACUAUAAACCCUAAUUCUAGCAUUCAAGUAAUCAUAUUAACAUGAGAAUAGGUUUAAGAUGUUACCUUGAUUGUUAUGUAGCAAUAACAAUCCCAAAUCUCCUUGUAUUGACUUUAGAAAGCUUAGAGUCACAAUUGUCACUCCUCUAAUGGUUCACAAACACCAUAAGCAAGAGGAUGAAGAAGAGAGAGGAUGGAGGCUGCCUAAAAACGUCUACAAACCCUAGAGGAGUCUUGUCCACGUUUUUGGUCCUUUAGGGAUCUAUAUAUGGUGAGGCUAUUAGGGUUAUCUAACAAGGAAACCCUAAUUUGGAUGCUUAAGCCCUAAGCAACCCAUAGACUCCUUUAAUUAAGGCCUUGGACGAUUUCCUUAUGGGUUUCCCCAUAGAAUUCGUCCACCCCUUAAUACAAGGCAAUCCAUGGCCCAAAUUGCAAUUAUCUUAUAAUUACAAUUCCAGUCCCUUAAGUUUAAUUAAUCUCUUUUAGUCACAAAACUAAUUACCAAUUAAUUAUCGACUAAUAUUAAUUAAACAAUAUGAUUUCUCCUUUAAUAUAUUAUUCCCAUAAUAUAUUAAUAAAUCAUAUUUAAUCCUUUCUCUCCAUAAUUCAUCCUAUCAAGUUGCUUUGGUGAAGACAACCCAAAAGGACCAUGCACCAUCGGGUCAAGUACGUACGAAAAUAGUUAUGGACUUAGACACUAAUCCAACACUAUGUGGUCCCGUUCCUUGUAUAAUUUGCAUGCAUAAUGUAACCAACGGUGUUGAUAAAGGUUCCUAGUAUUGUAGAGGCUGGUGAGUUGAGAUUUCCUAGGAGAGUCUAGGAAAUGCCCUAGUAGGAGAUGUAAGUUGGUUAGCAUAGGGACUGUAUGUUUAUGGAUUAGUAGGGUGACUUAAAGGAUUCAUGAUGGUUCUUGAGGGAAGUACGGAUAGGUGUGGAAGUUAGUAUUUGGACCGUACUACUGAAAGCACAUGAUCUAUACUCGAUUCAAGGAUGGUCUUGGAGGCUCUAAGGAGCAUGCAUAUUGGGAGUUCCCUCGAGCUUAUUAUGAUUGUUUGUAUGUUGUAUUUUAGUAUGGCGACCACUCGAAGAGGAGCUUCUGGUUCUGGUUCUGGUGCAUAACUGAUUGGUGAGCGGUUGCAUGAGUUUAUCACGUCGGAGAUUACUCGUGGUAUUAUGGAGGUUACCCUUGUGAUUUUUCGUACCAUCAAGAGGGCAUUAUGGAGCUUUUGGAUGAGAGUAUCGGGGCCUUUCGAGCUGAGAUCAUGGUAGGACAGUUAGGAGCGCAGACUCCCUCUUUUCGGGAGUUCAAGGCCUGUGGAGCUCCGGAGUUCUUUGGGGCUAAUGACCUUAUUGAUAGCCACCGAUGGAUCUCUAAUGCUCAAAGAAAGAACUUCUGCCAUAAGGAGGCGAAGGUGGGGUUUGCAUCCUGCCUUUUGAGGGACCGACACCGUGAUUGGUGAGAGGAGGUUGGUUAUACGUUGGGAUCUACAGAUGUGGUGGCCAUGACUUGGGAGGGUUUUGUGACUAGAUUCCAGGAGGAGUUUGCACUGGCUAUUGAUGUGCAACAGAUGGCGAGGGAGUUCCAAGACCUUUUCCAGAUUACUGAGAGUGUGGCAGAGAUCACCGCCAAAUUCCAAGAGAGGGCUUUGUUGGUUCCGCAGUAUGUUGCAGAUGAGGAGAUGAAGAAAACGAGAUAUCAUGACAUGUUGAGAGAUGACAUCAGUGAGUUUGUUUGAUAUUUAGUGUGCAAGACCCCAAAUGACAUGAUUGCUAGAGCACGAGAAUAGGAGAUGAGCUGGAGCUUUAGGCGAAGUGCUAGGCAAAGCAGGUGCAAACAACGGUGGCCAGGAGAAAAGGCCAGGGGUUUCUGAUUCGCAUCCUAGAGGCCAACAGGGUAGGAGCCGUUGUGGCAAGUGCGACAAGCCGCACAGUAGGACAUGUUGAGCAGCGGGAUCAGGUUGUUUUAGAUUUGGGCAUACUGGACAUAAGAGUAGGGAUUUACCUCGAGGCGCACUGAUUUGAUUUCAUUGCAAUCAGACUGGCCAUAAAAAGGCCGAUUGUCUGAGCCUAACGGGAGGAGCAGUGGCUGCGUAUUAAACCAUUGUCGUGCACAAUAUUAGCAAAUAGUAUUUUCACUGCUUGGUUGCACUAAAUGAAAGCACAGGGAAGCAGGGUUGAACCGUCAGGGACAUAACCAAACAAUCAAUGACUUAUUGCAUAAGGAAAAUAAUAGUGAUUUAAACAUCAUAUAUGAAAAAGGGGGAUUUUUAAUUAAUAACUAAACUAAAUAGCAGUGAAAAUAAACUAAACAAAUUCAAUAAAAAAAAAAUUCAACUCUGCUGCGACUUACAUAAUCAUGCAAACAACCCAAAUUUGGUUAUUCAGAAUGUGUUCCAUCUAAGUUGGUACUGAGAAAAACAAAGAAGCUCUAGUAUAAGGCCGGGCGGUAUGGUGAGCGGGGAAGGCCACAGGAAACGUCCCGCAUGGAGAAACACCGCACCGGGGGUGCGGGAAAGGAAACGCGGGAAAGAGAUGGGGGGAGGGAGUCCCACACACUCUCUCUGUUCAUUUGAUUGGGUGUUUAUUUUAUUUUUCUUUUUUUUAUUCAAAACGGCUAUAUAGCCGUUAUAUAUAUAUAUAUAUAUANNNNNNNNNNNUAUAUAUAUAUAUAUAUAUAUAUAUAUAUGUAUAUAUAUGUAUAUAUAUUCUUUCCCUUUUCUUAAACUAUAAAUACCACAAUAUCCAAUCAUUUUUUAACCCAUACCUUAUACUUCUCUCCAAAAAAUAUUAUUCAAAAUGUCAUCAUCUUCAUCAUCCGAUUCGACGGCUGUAGAGGAGACUAAGUUUAUUGGUUCUGUCAUGGCGAAAACGGUUGCAUACUAUCAAAAUCUACUAGGCGAAACAUCACAUGCACGAUCUAAGCUAAGAAAGCCGCGGUUGCAUAGAAAUCACGAAGCCGUACACGAUCACCUUAUAGAAGAUUAUUUUGUAGAUGACGCCAUCUACGCUGUAAAGUUUCGACGUCGGUUCUCGAUGAGGAAGGAACUAUUCUUACGUAUUGUUGGCGAUUUGGAAGGCCUCUUUCCAUAUUUCCAAUGGAAAAUGGAUGCAAGGCGGGUAAAAGGUUUCUCUCCCGUUCAAAAAUGCACGACUGCAUUUCGUCAGCUAGCAUACGGCAUGGGCACAGAUAAAUGGGACGAGUAUUUUAGGAUGUCAGAGCAUACCGUGCGGGAGUUCUGCAAAGCGAUAUGUUUGGUUUAUGGGGUAACGAUAUUUGCGCAAACCAACUAUCAACGAUGUCCACCAAUUGUACACGGCGCAUGAAGGCAAACAUGGAUUCUCUGGAAUGCUAGGUAGUAUCGAUUGCAUGCAUUGGAGUUGGUCAUUAUGCCCCAACGCAUGGCAUGGUUAGUACAUGAGAGGCGGCCACAAAGAGUCGACGACAUUCUAGAGGCUAUCGCAUCACAUGAUCUUUGGAUAUGGCAUGCAUUCUUUGGUCCAAAUGGUGCAAACAAUGACAUCAAUGUGCUAGACCAGUCGUCGGUAUUCAACGAUAUCUACCUUGGAAAGUCGCACGAUGUACCUUUUCAAGCAAAUGGGGUAGCAUAUAAGCGUGGAUACUAUCUUACUGACGGUAUAUAUCCUCCCUUGUCUGUUUUUGUGAAAUCGUUUACAUGUCCUAACGACCAGAAAAGGAAAAAGUUUAAAGAGGCGCAAGAGUCAGCUAGGAAGGAUGUGGAGCGAACAUUUGGUGUACUUAAGAGACGUUGGCAAGUAAUAACAGUCGGGGCAAGGUCAUAUGAGGUGAAAAGGUUACAACACGUAAUGUAUACAUGUAUCAUAUUGUAUAAUAUGAUUCUUGAAGACGAAGGAUGAGCGAUAUGCCGAUACAACGAAAAUGAAGUUUUGCCAAAUGUCGAAGGAGUAGCCGUUGGUACACAAGAGUAUAGGGUGAAUAGAAGAGAAGUACACAAUCGCGAAAUUCAUCACGCCCUUCGUGCUGAUUCGGUGGAGCACAUUUAUAGGUCUCAUAUUCAGCCCCCGUUAGAGUUUCCUCACGAGGAUUUGUUUGACGAAUCAGACAAGGAUUCUGAUAUGUUCGUCGAGAGUGAAGAUUCCGACGACGAGAGUGACGUUGUGGAGAAUGAUGAAGACGGUCAAGGCGAUGACGAGGACGAUGAGGGCGAUGACGAACACUAUGAUUCUGAGUGACGUAUUUUGGUUUAUAUAAAAUUAGGAUAUUAAUUAUUUUUCUACUUAUUUAAAUAUUAGAUUUAAUGUAAUUUUUAUUUUAAUUAAUGAAAUGAUUUUUAUUUUUAAUUAAAUUUUAUGUUUAGUAUUAAUUUGAAAGUUAUAAAUCAUAAAAAAAAUUAAUUUUAUUUAAUAAAAAAAAGUGAGGGAAUGGUUCCCACCCAUUCCUUGGGUUUUAGGUCAGAGAAAGAAAUGUGAGGGAAAUGAGGGUAUGACCAACAAAAAGUGAAAGAAGCUUCCCUCCCAUACCCUCCGGCCUAAUCUCUUUUACCUAGUUAAAUUAACAAAAACAAGCUUUUCAAUAACCCUAACUUUUUAUUGUCUGAUUAAACAAGCGCUUAAUUAAGAUCAUAAAAAUUGCAUUAAGAUCUUUGUAAAAUUCCCAACAAUACUUAAUACUUCUCACAACCUCAGCGUAAACAGUGGCGGAUCCUCACUAGGGAAGGGGGGCCAUGGCCCCGUGAUUUUUUUACUUAUUAAUACUUGUAUUAUAUAAAAGGAUAGGUUCAUCUUUUUUUACUAAUUUUAUGGCCCCUCCAGUUUUUGAUAUAUGACAUUGAAUUAUCAGCUCCAAAAUAACAACACAAAAAAUCAAGCUUAUUUGGUGAUAAAAAGAUUCUAUAUAAUUAACAGAUUAUCCGAAAAUCACUGAAAAAAUCACAACCAAAUCCUAAUUUUAAAAAGAUAAUAUCUUACUCUAUAAAUAAACCCCGAAAACUAUUAUAAUUUACAUUUUAUUAACACAAUGUUUCAGAAAAUAUGAAACGUAAAAACUUAAGAACAUUGUUGCCAUAAAAAUUGCUCACCGGAAAACACUCCCGGAGUCCUCGAAUAGGCCGGUCUUCUCACCAGAAAAUAUGCCGCCUAAUAGUGAGUGCUCAAUCACUCACUAUUUCUUCUUCGCCCUUCUUGCACUAUGUGUGCUAUGUCUCUCGUCUCCUGGCCGUGCCAUUCGAUGAACUACUAAUACCUCCGGUGUCUCCUCUUCACUUGUAAUGUGAUGACCUCUGUGCGUUUGGUCUUUCCGCUCUCUGUAUGAUUUGUAAGCUAUUUUCUUUUUCUUACACUUUCUAUCUUUUUAUUUUUCUGUAUCUUUCUUAAAUAAGAUUAUAACGUUGGAAUUUGAGAAGGAUAAGAGGCAAUUGAAUGUCUAAAAGCUGUAAAAGUAAGUUUAAAGGCUGCAACAAGUACUACACAUGUAUUUUCAUUUACUAUUUGUUAGUUUAUGAUUUUUUUUUUUUAAUUUAAAGAUUCCUACGGUAAUCAUAGGAAAUUAAUUUGGAAUUUAGUUUUGUUUAGCUGAAAAUAUAUAUAUUAAUUGUUAAAUAUUUUAUAAUUAUGAGUUAAUUUUGUAAUUUGUUAAAUGAAAGUUGACUAUAAUUAUAAAUUUCUUGUAAAAACUUCAAGUAAUGUUGAAGAAUAAUUUUACAAUAUUAAAAAAAAUUAAAAGAUAAUAUUCAUUUUGACGAUAGAUGUACGAUAUUUCANNNNNNNNNNNNNNNNNNNNNNNNNNNNNNNNNNNNNNNNNNNNNNNNNNNNNNNNNNNNNNNNNNNNNNNNNNNNUAUAUAUAUAUAUAUUAAAUUUUGAUAUAUAUUAACUUUUAAUAAUAUUACAUUUGUUUAUAUGAUUUUAGUUUGAAGUUUUAGAUUCGCCCCCCCUAGUCUGAAUGUUCAUGUUUCGCCCCUGGGCGUAAAGGUAUGAAAUUUCAGUUUAUAUCAUAGUUAAAUCCCUAACAUGGAACAAAUCUGAUACUUGUUACUUAUUAUCAGUUGACAAGAACAAUUACAAAUUCUAUUAACCGAUUAAUUGUAAUGGUUAAACCCUAGCUAUGUGAUCAAACUAACAAGAGUCAAAAUCAAACAUUCAUUAAGCUUAAAAUUAAAACAACCAGAUAGAAGCACAUAAUGAAAACCAAAUCUGAUAACUGAUCAUAUGAAGAGUACUAGUCUAUUGCAGAACUAAAAAUUAGGGUUUUAGCUAGACAUAGCUAAAAUCUGAUACAAACUAGUAAAAUGAAAUAUUAAACUAUUAAAUCUUACUAAACUAAUUGAGAGACACAAUCCACAGUCUUCAGAUCUUAAGAAAUCGCUGAAAUCAGAGAGAAUUUUCUUCAGAAAUCGUCUUUUCGUCGUCUGGAGCUUCAGGAAACGGCCAACCUUCAAUCUGAUCAGAGAGUCAUCCAAUAUAUAUAUAUAUAUAUAUAUAUAUAAUCUAGAGUCUUCAGGAGAAAGAAAUCAUAAAAUUACAUCGAAUUUUUGGUCAUUUGAUAGAAUUUUGCAUUUUGUUUUUGAUUUUCAGGACUUUUUUUUUCCACGACGUAUUUAUUCGAUCGAAUUUCAAGGCAAAAUUCGAUCGAAUUUUUGCAUUUUCUGAUUUUUUCACAAAGAAGAAAGUCGUUCGAAAGUUUGUCUAGUUUCUGGAACAUUUUAAAUCUUGUCAAUCAGAGUUACGAGUCAUGAGAUAUGGUCAAAAAUACUGACAUGGGGUCAAAGUUGCCAGCAACAUCCUUUAGGCUUUAGAAUGUAGCAAUUUAUAUUCGCUGGAUCAAUUCGAUCAAAAUUUUCUUGACCAAAACAGCUUCCAAGCAUUCCUCAGAAUCCUUCAUAAGUUCCAAGCUUCAUUUAACUUCAAUGCUCCAUCUAACACAUACAAAGUUGCUCCCAAAGUAUUGCUCCAUCCAAUUAUUCGAAAAUGACAUAAAAAUGCUAGUAGUAUGAGAAUUCUAACGAAUGACAUGAGCUAAACAUUAUUUAAACUAAUGACAUGCAAAUGUGUAAAAUAUGAUUCUAAAUGCUAAUAAAAGCUACCCUAAAUGAUGCAUAAAUUGACAUCUAUCAUUUCUCCCCAAGCUUGAACCUUACUUGUCCUCAAGUAAUAAAAAGAUUAAACAUUAUAACUGAAAUGGAAAGAUGUAGAUGACAUAAAAAGAACUUAGAAUACAAUGAAUGAAAUUAAAAACUUGAACUAAAAACACUUCACUUUUUUUUCUUCAUAUGAUCAGACUUAACACCAAGGAAAUCUCCAAUGGAAUCACUACCUAGACAAUCAUCACAAUACCUUCUAUCUUUCACAAAUUCCCAAAGUCAAGAAGAAGCUUGACGAUGUGAACCAAUAAAUCAAUUGUAAAUUUUAUUUCAACUUUAUACCUUAAUUAGCCUUGCAAGAGAAAAUAACACAUUUCAGAAUUUCAUGUCCUCAAGACUAGAUAAUUAAGAACAAGGAUAGACACAUCCAUAAGAACCCGUCACGUCAAAUAAGCUUUCGCUGAAGUAAUGGACCACACCCAUAGGGGUCCAACUCUUAUACUUUCACUUUUCUGAGAGAAACAAAUAUCAUAUCACACAGGUCUUCAUUCGCUCCAGAUUUGUCUUUGAGAUGACUUUUGAAUUGAUUGAACUUGAUUCUUUGUAUUUUUGCUUUCAGCUUUGAGUUCUUCAAUUAUUUUUUGUGAGUUUCUUGAGAUUUCUUCAAUUAAGUGCUUGAACUUUGACUUGGGUACACGAUAUGACUGUUAGUACCCUUCUUUUUUUUAAUUGUAUGGAUCUAAUAUAAGGGGUCUCUGUUACCGCGAAGGUAACACGUGUCAACAAAUAGGUCCGUGUUCUGUGGGUCCAUACUUGUCGAUCAAGGUUCUUUUUAAACAUUCCAAAGCAAAUAGUUCUAAAACUAUUAUUAUUGUCCACACAAUGUUUCGGUACACCAUUUUUAUUUUUAUUUUUUACAGCUAGCGUCUCAGAUCACGGUAUUUUGUGACUCCUAGAUAUGAGAACUAUUACUGCACUUACCACUAUUGAUCUGAUCGCUUCAGACUUUCGAUUUCCAUUUAUACAUAGCUAUCGAAUGCAAGAAUAUCAUCAUAUCAUGAAACUUUUUUUUUUAAUUUUUUUUCUAGAAUUUUUAUAUGUAUGCAGAAAAUAAAAAUGAAAACCUUUUUGGUUUUUUUAUGAAUGCAGAAAAAUAAAAACAUAAACAUAAAAUAUUUUUGGAUUUUUUUUCCAGAUUUUUUUUAAUACAAAUGCAAUGCAGAAUGCAAAAAGGAAUACAGAAAAACUAAAAAAUUUGAAAUUUGAAAUUUUUAACAAAAAAUGCAAAUUUUCACACUAACCCCCUCCCAAACUUACAAUGAUGCAUUGUCCUCAAUGAUUAGAGACGAAUGAACAACUAAAUAAAACAUGUAAAAGUAAAGGUUGCGGCCAGGAAAUAAUGUAUAUGAUAAGGUUUCAUAAAAUUUGAUUUAACGAAGAUGGUGGCGAAAAUUUGAAUGUCAGCAACUUUGAAGAUCAUCUGAUUUCCCCAAGGUUGCUUGGAACUGCGACUAUCUCUUUAUUGAAAGCAGAAAAAUAAACUAAAUCUACGUGGGUUGCCUCCCGUAAAGUCGUCCAUUUUUAGAGUCGUUGGCUCGACUUUGCCCGACCAGAUGUUUAACUGGUGUGGUUUUGGAAUUUUAUGAAGUUCAACUCUCUUCUUCCUCACUAUAGAUACCUUCAAAUGUGGCAUAAUGAAUGAAUCUGGUGGUUGUACAACAAACUGUAAAUACUUCAGAUUUUUAUCAUAUAAGUUUUCUUCAGAUUUUUGAUUCUCUUUCUUUUUCUGAUUCUCUUUCCGAAAAUCUUCUUCCUUUUUUUUUCUUUUUCAGCUUCUUAUCAGAAAUCACCAUUUUCUCAGCAGAAAUCAUCUUCUCAUCCUCAUCAAGUUUUCUUAUUUUCAUAUUCUUCUCAGUAUUCAUCAUCUCCUGUUCUCUUUUCAAAAGUUUAUUUUUUUUUUCCAGUUUUUUGUCUGUUUUUUCUUUUGCAGAAAUCAACUUCUCCUCCUCCCCAAGCUUAUCUGCUUCUGUCAACUUCGUAUCAUUACCUUUAGCAAAAAUCAUAUCUAAUUCCACACCCCCAAGCUUAUUUCGUUUCAGCUCCUUUGAUGCAUCAUCAGAUAAUCAUCUGUCUACAAAUAUUUCUUGCACAAAAACAUUAGAAAACUCAUAGCAGUCCUUAGAUAAAGGACUGCUGGUACCCAAACAAUUAACAUAAACUUUAUAAAAAAUAAAAUCAACAUCAUUCAUUUUAAAAUUGAUCACAUCCCCAUCAAAUUCCAUUGAAAGUGUACCAGUAAAAACAUCAAUCCUUGUUUUGGUAGUUUUCAGAAAAGGUCUUCCCAAAAUGAUUGAGUUUUUAUUUGAUACGUCUAAAAUCGCCCAUGUCUAGAAUAUAAAAAUCAGCGGGAAAAAUAAGCUCACCCACUUGGUCAUGAACAUCCUCCAAUACACAUUUUGGGUGUACUGUUGUACGAUCUGCAAACUGAAUAAGUGUUCCGGUCUUUUGUAAAGAUCCUAAUUUUAAUUUUUCAAAAACUGAUAGUGGGAGGACAUUGACUGAAGUACCUAAGUCUAGCAUGAAUUUUCGAAAAGUAAGGUUUCCUAACUUACAAGGAAUCAAGAAAAUUCUCGGAUCCUUACACUUUGGGGGCAUACCUUUUUGCAAAAUCGAAGAAAUAUUUUCGCCAACUUUGACUAUUUCGUUUAUUUUCAGCCUUUUCUUUGAAAUACAUAAAUCUUUCAGAAGCUAGGUAUAACAACAAAUUUGUUUAAUUAUAUCUUAAAGUGGGAUAUUUACGUCCACGUUAUGAAAGGUUUCCAUGAUAUCCCCGUCUUCAUGCUCACGCUUCGUGAUUCUUAGUCGUGAUGGGAAAGGUGGCACCAACUUGUAGUCUUUCAGAUUUAACUUGUUUUGCUUGGGAGGCUUUUUUUCUUCCAGCUUUUCAGCUUCUCUUUCACCCAAAACUUAUUCAGAUUCUUUUUCAAAUUCUUUUUCUGCUUUAGACACGCUUGGGCCUUGUAACAGCCCGGAAUUUCAGGUAUUUCUUUAAAUUAUUUUUGGGGCACAUUUAGGAGGGGACUCGGCGAGUUGGUGCACGACUUGCCGAGUAGGGCCAUGGUCUUGGUCGCAGACGCGCGACUGGACUCGACGAGUCCAAUAAGGGACUCGGCGAGUCGACGCUGUUCAGCUGAACCCUAGCCGUUUCAAUUCUGAACCGUAUAUAAUGAUAUUAUGGCCGUCAUGUCGUGUCUUUUGGCCGAUUGAAGAUCCCCUGGGAGUGUGUGAGCAUCUGAAGCAAGAGAGAGGACUUGAGAAGGCUUGAAGAGAUUGUUAGACAAGGAGGAGCAAGGUGGUGAUCAAAGGAAUUGAGUGUUGGAGGUUUGGAGACACAGGAAACACGUUUCCAGGUAAUUUUCGGAUUGAAAUCUGUAACUUUUACGUUGUAUGCGAGUUAGGGUUUAGGAAACCCAAUUAAGGGUUAGUUAGAUUAUAUUGUUGUUAUAAGUGUUUAAAAACCCUUGUAAUAGUAUAUGUGAAAGUCCAGGAAGCCCUAUAUCUAUAUACUUCGAAAUCAUGCGAAAUACAGGAGGCAGCGGAUUGACUGCAUGGCGGGGACUCGCCGAGUCCAAUGAUCAGACUCGGCGAGUAGCUUGAAGAUUCACUAGAACUCGCCGAGUUGUUCUUCAGACUCGGCGAGUAGCUUGAAGGUUCACUAGGACUCGUCGAGUUGUUCUUCAGACUCGGCGAGUAGCUUGAAGAUCUACUGGAACUCGUCGAGUCGUUCUUCAGACUCGGCGAGUGGUGUCAGGAUGUCUAUACUCGUCGAGUUACCCUUUGCACUCGACGAGUCCGGUCAAAAUUGACCGUUGACCUGCAUAUAUCUUAGAGGGGUCAGUUGUCUUGUUUGAUAAGAUCAUUAACUAAGGCUGUGGUAUUAUAGGGAACCUGCGGACUAGCGGAUUGUGUGCGAGUAGCUCGAAGAGGUUAUAGCCUGCGUACUACGAGGUGAGUCUUCUCACUAUACUUCACCCGGAAGGGUUUGACUGUUAGACCGGAAGGUCGUGUGUGUUAUAUUCAUGCUAUGUCUAGAGAGAUAGAUGCUUUAUAUGCGAUGUGUGCUUAUAUGUGAUGUAUGCUUAUACGGGCCGGAAGGCGAGACUUUAUGUGAUAGAAAGAACGGUAUGAUGUAUGAUUUAUGUGUUAUGAGUUUUAUGUUACAUGUGUUAUGUUUUAUACUAUCAUGGGCCGGAAGGCAAAAUGCUAUGGGCCGGAAGGCAAUCUAAUACGGGCCGGAAGGCGAUAUAUAUUGUGGACCGAAAGGUCCGGGCCGGAAGGCAAUGUUAUGUGGACCGAAAGGUCCGGGCCGGAAGGCGUAUGUGGGUAAGUCGUAUACUGGGGAACUCACUAAGCAUUUAUGCUUACUAGUUGUGUUUAUGUUUUUCAGGUACUAGUGAUGACCGUGGGAAGGCGCCGGCGUGACACGUACACACUGCCACUGUUGGAGAUCCUGGAGAUUUAUUAUUUUUAUUUUGAAAUAAACUUGGAAUAAACCCUUUUGUCGAAUAAUGAUGUUUUAUUUUUAACGAAAAAUUUAUUUGAAAAUUUGAGCUGUUACAAUUGGUAUCAGAGCCUUGGUUUGAGGGAUUCGGGUGUACUUUUGGGUGCAACUGAACUCAGACCGGGGAUUUGAGGAAAAACUUUUUCUUAAAAAUAAUAAGGACAUAACAUUUUAUAAAGGGCAAGGCGGUAAAAACAAGGGUGGAACAGUGUGUACGAGCAGCCAGCGUCCGAACGGUAAAGAUCCCCAGAAUACCUUACGAUGUUAUGUUAUGCACUGAAUUAUGAAUUGUUAUGCAUGCUAGAAGACUAGGUAUACAUGAUAGGAAUAGAAUUGCCUGUUUUGUGAUGCCUUAGUCUAGGGAGAUUGCUUAUAUGAGAUAUUUGGUAGCGUGCAAGUAAAUAGUGCAUACUAGAAGUAGAGUACUCGUUAUUCGGGAUUUGGGGAGGAAGAUUUGGGACGAAUACUGAUACGGUGUGGUCGGUAGUAUUGGGCCCGUACUAUCGAAGGCACCGGAUCAGUGGAAGACUCAAAUAAGAAUCCCUGGAAAUCGGAGACUGGGUAGGGCGCGUAUCGAGUACAAUUGUACUUGGUGGAGUCUCUGAUGAUUUUAUGUUGUAUUUCAGAGACAUCAUGGUUAUCACACGCAAUGGGGCGAGUUCGAGCGGUGCGAGUGACGAGGAGAUUCGUCAGAUUAUUCAGGAAGAGGUAGCUGCGGCGGUCCGGGCUGAGAUCCCGGAGAUGUUUGGGUCUAUUAAGACCACGUUGAUGGAGGAGUUUGAGGAGCGGUGCGCCGCAAUUUCUGAAGCUGCAGUUGCUGCCGCUACCGCAGCGGUGGCUGCUGCCAGGCCGCAAGGGGGUGAUUCAUUACUAUUCAGGGAAUUCAGCAACACGAAACCCCCUGAAUUUGAUGGGACGCAGGAUCCGAUUGCAGCUAUGAGGUGGAUCGCCGACAUCGAGGGGUGCUUCUAUACUUGCUCAUGCCCGGAGCACUUGAGGGUACGGUUCGCCUUGAACCAGCUCCGUCUGGGAGCGAAGGAUUGGUGGAAGUUCGUGACGGCGAACUUCACUCAGGCAGAGAUUACGGCGGUGACAUGGGAGAGGUUUACAGAGAUGUUCAGGGAUGAGUACGUUCCCCCGGUAGAGAGGGAGCGAUUGAUUCAGGAGUUCUUGACCCUUAAGCAGGGUACUGAUUCCGUGGCAGUGAUCACACGGAAGUUUCAUGAGAGGGCAAUGUUCUGCCCCGAGCUGGUAUCUACGGAGCAGUCGCGGAUGAGCCGCUAUUUGGGUGUUUUGAAGAGGGAGAUUCGGGAGUUUGUGUCAAACUCCACCUAUCGUACUUUCACUGAGCUUCAGGCGAACGCCAGGAAGCGCGAGAUUGAGUUGGAGACUCAAGCGAGGGAGGAGGCUGAGUCUCGGCAGGUGGAUCGACGGCCGGCCCAGUCUCAGCCGGCAGCCAAGCGGAUUAAGUUCGCUGAUUCGAGGAUGGGAGGUUCGAAGGGUCGCACUUGCGCGAAGUGCGGCAAGAGUCACGAGGGGGCGUGUCGAGCUAGUGGUUGCUACAAGUGUGGCAAGGACGGACAUAUUGCCAGGGAUUGCCCUAAGGGGUUUAUGGUUUGCUUUCACUGCAACCAGACAGGCCAUCGGAAGGCCGAGUGCCCGCAACUUCGUCAGGGAGCUACACCUACUACCCGGACUACUGAGACCCGACCGGUGAAGGUCGAGGCCCCGAGGGCUCGCGGGAGAGCCUUUCAGCUGACUGCGGAGGAGGUCCGCGCUGCGCCCGAUGUUGUGGCAGGUAUGUUAUCUUUCAUGUAUUUAAUUAAAGGUCGAAAUGUUAUGCUUAUGUUAAUAUAUGUGUAGGUACUUUCCUUGUGAACUCUAUGCCUGCUCUAGUAUUAUUUGAUUCGGGUGCGAGUAGAUCGUUUGUAUCGUUAGCUUUUAGUCAGCACAUCGGCAUUAGUCGUGAGCCGUUAAGUCGGCCUUUGAGCGUUUCCAUUGCGGCUGAGAGGGUGAUUUGUGCUACGGAGGUUUUUCGGGGAUGUGUGCUAGAGAUCUUCGGGGUCGCAUUUCCGAUUGACCUAAUUCCUAUUGCGAUGGGUGAUGUCUGUGUCAUUGUAGGCAUGGACUGGUUGAGCCGAUUCAGCGCUGUCAUCGACUGCGAGCGUCAGUUGGUGACUAUACGAGACCCUAGUGGGGGAGUUCUUACGGUGUACGGCGAGGGUACCCGUUCGAGAUCAGCUUUUUGUUCGGCUGCUAGGGCGAGGCAAUGCCUACAGCGGGGAUGUAACGGUUUUGUGGCGUAUGUGAUGGAUACGCGGGAGAGUUCCGAGAGACCGAAGACAUUGCAGGAGGUUCCAGUGGUGCGCGAGUUUCCAGAUGUUUUCCCCGAGGAUUUGCCGGGAAUACCUCCUGCGAGGCAAGUGGAGUUUGGUAUCGACCUAGUUCCAGGGGCGGCGCCUAUUGCGAAGGUGCCUUAUCGUCUUGCACCUCCAGAGAUGCAAGAAUUGUCCUCGCAACUUCAAGAGUUGUUGGGGAAGGGAUUUAUUCGGCCGAGUAGCUCGCCGUGGGGAGCACCGAUUCUGUUCGUCAAGAAGAAGGAUGGUUCACACCGGAUGUGUAUCGAUUACCGGGAACUGAACAAGGUGACAGUUAAGAACCGCUAUCCGUUACCAAGAAUCGAUGAUCUAUUCGAUCAGUUGCAAGGGGCAUCUUGGUUUUCCAAGAUUGAUUUGAGAUCAGGGUACCAUCAGGUAAGGGUGCGGGAUGAGGACGUCCAGAAGACAGCCUUUAGGACGCGGUAUGGGCAUUACGAGUUCGUGGUGAUGCCUUUUGGGCUCACCAAUGCCCCAGCAGUGUUCAUGGAUCUCAUGAACAGGGUAUGCAGGCCGAUGCUGGAUCGGUCUGUGAUUGUAUUCAUCGACGACAUUCUGGUGUAUUCGCGGUCUAGGGAGCAGCAUGAGGGACAUUUGAGGGAGGUCCUUGAGGUACUGAGGUCGGAGAAGCUAUAUGCAAAAUUCUCCAAAUGUGACUUCUGGUUACGGGAGGUUCAAUUUCUGGGGCACGUUGUAAAUCAGGCAGGGAUAUUGGUCGAUCCGGCCAAGGUGGAGGCGGUGAUGAGAUGGGAGGCACCAAAGUCACCUUCGGAGAUCAGGAGUUUCCUUGGGUUGGCAGGGUACUAUCGAAGGUUCAUUAGGGACUUCUCCAAGAUCGCAGUGCCACUUACCAAAUUGACCCGAAAGGGUGUUACAUUCUCAUGGGGACCCGAGCAGCAGACUUCCUUCGAGACACUUCGUCAGAGACUGUGCGAAGCACCAGUAUUAGCCCUUCCUGAAGGGAUGGAGGACUUCGUCGUAUAUUGCGACGCAUCGAUUUCAGGACUGGGUGCAGUGUUGAUGCAGAGGGGCCAUGUGAUAGCCUAUGCAUCGAGGCAGCUGAAGCCUCACGAAGCGAGAUAUCCCACGCAUGACUUAGAGUUGGGGGCAGUAGUGUUCGCCCUCAAAAUUUGGCGUCACUACCUGUACGGGGUUCGUUGUACCAUAUACACGGACCAUAAGAGUUUGAAGUAUUUGAUGGAUCAACCCAACCUAAACAUGCGCCAGAGGAGAUGGUUAGACGUGGUUAAGGAUUAUGACUGUGAGAUCCUAUACCACCCAGGCAAGGCUAAUGUGGUAGCCGAUGCAUUGAGUCGUAGGGCGGAGGGUACUCCAUUGCGGGACGUAUGUUUGAGAUUGACGGUGGUGACUCCGGUAUUAGAUACUAUUCGUGGGGCACAGGCCGAGGUUGUGAAGUCUGGGAUGCAGAAACAGGAGCGGGUCGUCGGGUUAAUUUCAGAGUUCGUUACGGAUGGGCGGGGACUUCUGACAUUUCAGGGUCGGAUCUGGGUGCCAUUCGUGGGCGGUACGCGUGUCAUUUUGAUGGAGGAGGCACAUAGAUCGAAAUUCUCGAUCCAUCCCGGUGCUACGAAAAUGUAUCUGGAUUUGAAAAAGGAGUACUGGUGGCCUUGCAUGAAGAGAGACGUUGCGUGGUUCGUGGAGAGGUGUUUGACCUGCCGUAAAGUUAAGGCCGAGCACCAGAGACCGCACGGUAAGUUGCAACCCUUGGAGAUCCCUGAGUGGAAGUGGGAUCAGAUCACGAUGGAUUUCAUCACCAAAUUGCCGAAAACUGCCAGGGGAGUCGAUGCGAUUUGGGUGAUUGUGGAUAGACUAACAAAGAGUGCACAUUUCCUUGCCAUUAGUGAAAGUUCAUCAGCAGAGAAGUUGGCGGAGUUGUACGUGAGAGAGAUAGUAUCUCGGCAUGGAGUGCCGACCUCGAUUGUUUCGGACCGCGAUGUACGUUUCACUUCCAGGUUCUGGAAGAAAUUCCAUGAGGAGUUGGGUACUAAACUGCAUUUUAGUACCGCAUACCAUCCCCAGACCGACGGUCAAAGCGAGCGGACGAUCCAGACAUUGGAAGAUAUGCUUAGAGCGUGUGUGUUAGACUUCGGGGGUAGCUGGGAUGCGCAUCUGCCGCUGGCUGAGUUUUCCUACAACAACAGCCAUCAUUCGAGCAUUGGUAUGCCACCUUUUGAGUUGUUGUAUGGUAGGAGGUGUCGGACUCCCAUUUGCUGGGGAGAAGUGGGACAGAGAGUGAUGGGCAGUACAGAGAUCGUACUUCAAACGACUGAACAGAUCCAACGGGUGAGGCAGAGGUUAUUGACCGCCCAGAGCCGACAGAAGAGUUAUGCGGACAGACGCCGGUCCGAGCUCGAAUUCCAGGUCGGCGACUUCGUUCUCCUAAAGGUUUCUCCUUGGAAAGGGGUGAUUCGGUUCAGGAAGAGGGGCAAAUUGGGGCCCCGGUUCAUAGGUCCAUUUCGGGUAAUUGCAAGGGUAGGUCGGGUAGCUUAUCGGUUGGAGUUGCCAGCGGAGCUGAAUCAGAUUCACAAUACCUUCCACGUAUCACAGCUGAGGAAGUGUAUAGCCGAUGAGGCAGCAGUGGUUCCGUUAGAAGAUAUCCAGGUAGAUGCGAGUCUGAAUUACGCCGAGAGACCAGUAGCUAUCAGGGAUCGGAAGAUCAAGGUUCUACGGAACAAGGAAAUACCUCUGGUGUUGGUUCAGUGGCAACAUCGGAAGGGAUCGGAGAUGACUUGGGAGCCGGAAAGAGAAAUGCGGGAGCAACAUCCGGAGUUAUUCGCAGAAUGAGAGACUUCGAGGGCGAAGUCUAGUUCUAGUGGGGGAGAGUUGUAACAGCCCGGAAUUUCAGGUAUUUCUUUAAAUUAUUUUUGGGGCACAUUUAGGAGGGGACUCGGCGAGUUGGUGCACGACUCGCCGAGUAGGGCCAUGGUCUUGGUCGCAGACGCGCGACUGGACUCGACGAGUCCAAUAAGGGACUCGGCGAGUCGACGCCGUUCAGCUGAACCCUAGCCGUUUCAUUUCUGAUCGUAUAUAACGAUCUUAUGGCCGUCAUGUCGCGUCUUUUGGCCGGUUGAAGAUCCCCUGGGAGUGUGUGAGCAUCUGAAGCAAGAGAGAGGACUUGAGAAGGCUUGAAGAGAUUGUUAGACAAGGAGGAGCAAGGUGGUGAUCAAAGGAAUCGAGUACUGGAGGUUUGGAGACACAGGGAACACGUUUCCAGGUAAUCUUCGGAUCGAAAUCUGUAACUUUUACGUUGUAUGCGAGUUUAGGGUUUAGGAAACCCAAUUAAGGGUUAGUUAGAUUAUAUUGUUGUUAUAAGUGUUAAAAAACCCCGUAAUAGUAUAUGUGAAAGUCCAGGAAGCCCUAUAUCUAUAUACUUCGAAAUCAUGCGAAAUACAGGAGGCAGCGGAUUGACUGCAUGGCGAGGACUCGCCGAGUCCAAUGAUCAGACUCGGCGAGUAGCUUGAAGAUUCACUAGAACUCGCCGAGUUGUUCUUCAGACUCGGCGAGUAGCUUGAAGGUUCACUAGGACUCGUCGAGUUGUUCUUCAGACUCGGCGAGUAGCUUGAAGAUCUACUGGAACUCGUCGAGUCGUUCUUCAGACUCGGCGAGUGGUGUCAGGAUGUCUAUACUCGUCGAGUUACCCUUUGCACUCGACGAGUCCGGUCAAGAUUGACCGUUGACCUGUAUAUAUCUUAGAGGGGUCAGUUGUCUUGUUUGAUAAGAUCAUUAACUAAGGCUGUGGUAUUAUAGGGAACCUGCGGACUAGCGGAUUGUGUGCGAGUAGCUCGAAGAGGUUAUAGCCUGCGUACUACGAGGUGAGUCUUCUCACUAUACUUCACCCGGAAGGGUUUGACUGUUAGACCGGAAGGUCGUGUGUGUUAUAUUCAUGCUAUGUCUAGAGAGGUAGAUGCUUUAUAUGUGAUGUGUGCUUAUAUGCGAUAUAUGUUAUGUGGAUCGAAAGAUCCGGGCCGGAAGGCAAUGUUAUGUGGACCGAAAGGUCCGGGCCGGAAGGCAAUAUUAUGUGGACCGAAAGGUCCGGGCCGGAAGGCGUAUGUGGGUAAGUCGUAUACUGGGGAACUCACUAAGCAUUUAUGCUUACUAGUUGUGUUUAUGUUUUUCAGGUACUAGUGACGACCGUGGGAAGGCGCCGGCAUGACACGUACACACUGCCACUGUUGGAGAUCCUGGAGAUUUAUUAUUUUUAUUUUGAAAUAAACUUGGAAUAAACCCUUUUGUCGAAUAAUGAUGUUUUAUUUUUAACGAAAAAUUUAAUUGAGAAUUUGAGCCGUUACAGGCCUUCAUUACUUUUUCCACUUCUCAAGGAAAUAUCACUCACGUUGUGCUUCAGAUUAUUUUUAAUGCCCCAAUAACUUCCCUUGAGAUUCCAUAUGACCCACAAAAAUGGCAAGUUGAGACACUUGCUAUUCCAGAUUCUUGAUACUUGCUCUGGUUUCAUUUUGAAAUGCAUGAGUGUUGGUGGCAAGGCUCUUCAUUAUAUCUUCCAAGGCCAUGCUGGAACUGCCAGAUUGUUGAUUGGAGUUCUGAUUAUGAAAACUCUACUGAUGUUGAUUAUGAUAAUUGGGCUGAUUCAGAAAGUUCUGCUAAGAAUUUGUAACGCCCGUAGAUCUAGGCUAGUCAAUUUAGAGGCAAUAAGGGUCGAAAAUGACUUUUCGGCAAAAGAUUAUUUAGAAUAAAUAAUCUUAACCAAGUUGUAGAAUAUGUCUAAAGGUUUCCGUUCAUAUAAAGAACGCUGAAAUCUGAGUUAUAACGAAGAAGUUAUGGCCCGUCGAAGUUUUACGGCAAAACCGACACGACACCGGGAAACGUAAAAUAAUGAAUUUACGAUAGAAGACUUUUUGGCCUUAUUAAUCUAAACCAAAGUUUUAGUAUACGUUAAACCUAGAGCGUCCAUAAAAAGAACGCCCAAAUCCGACUUCGUAUGAGGAAGUUAUGAUUUUUUGAAGUUUCGGCUUAGCACUGUACGACCCGAAACUCGAAUUUUAGUUCGAGCGGUUUUUGGCCUACGCGACCUAAAUGAGAGUUGAAUAUCUCAUUAAUAGGAACUCAACGGUAAAAAGACAGACGAAAACGGAGUUUGUAUGAAGGAGUUACGAAUUCUUUGCGGUCAUUAAUAGUCUAAUCUCCUCGUACUGUUAAAUUAAAGAUCGGUCGAGAAUUAGCGGACAAAGUCUAAAUAAAAGUUGUAGAUCUUGUUUUUAUCUAUGCGUGGAAAAAAAGAACGUCGAAAACAGAGCUUAUAUGCGAAAGUUAUGAAUUUUUGAAAAUCGGCUGAUUUCCACCCUAUGUGCAAUGCCACGUGUCAGCACCAGGCUAUGGUUGGCUGUAGCCAGUGUAACGCCCGCAUAUUCGGUCUAGUAAAUUUAGAGGAAAUAGGGGUCGAAAACGACUUUUCGACAAAAUAUUAUUUAGAAUAAAUAAUCUUAACCAAGUUGUAGAAUAUGUCACAAGGUUUUGCGUACAUAUAAAGAACGCCGAAAUCCGAGUUAUAACGAUAAAGUUAUGGCCCGUCGAUGUUUUACGGAAAAACCGGCACGACACCGGGAGACGUAAAAAUUCAAUUUAAGAUAGAGGACUUUUUAACCUUAGUGAUCUAAACCGAGGCUCCCGGAGUCCCGAGAAAAGAGCCUUUCGGCUUGGGAACGCUGCUCAAGCGAAGCCCAGUUUUCGAGAAAAACCCGCUGUAAGUGAGCUGUACCUAUCCUAUCUUUAGUAUAGCUUAUGUUUCAAUAUAAUAUUGUUAUUAGGACCUUAUAGGGAGUAUUUGAGCUAUUAUUAUGAGUUAUAUAAGUAUUGUUUAACGCUUAUAUAAUAGUAAUAAUAGCUAGACUAUUAAAUUAGUCUCGUCAAACGUUAGACUAAACUCUAGUGGUAAUGAUACUAGGUUUCGUCAAGGGAUAAUUGUUUUAAGAGUAACGAAGUGCUGUCCGAGUGUCGACUCACCACCUUAUCAGGUGAGUGCGUGGUCCCUUUCAUCUUACACAUAGAUAUGAAGUAUUUUACGUAAAUUACGUGCUAUGUGUGCAUAUUAUGUGAAUACUUGUUGUCUAUGCUGGAUGAAUGAUUUUAUACAUGUUUUAAAUGAUUUAAACUGUAUAUUUAUUUUAUAUCUACAAAUAUGUUGGGAUAAAACAUGGGUAGAUGAAAUAGUUGGUGUGUGAUGAAAUAAAAUAAUGAGAGAUAGGUGAUGAUAAUUAGGUGAGGAUAGAUAGGUGAUGAUGAAUCGGUGAUGUAGGAUACUACAACCUUGUCUGACAAUUUGGAGAUGUAGUCAUCUACCAGAGUAUAGAUGGCGACCACGGACUAUUAUAGACAACCCUGUGGAAACACCAGCAGGCUCAUAACCUGUAGGUGAUGAAUUAAGAGUUCAGGCGAUGUUGUAACUACGUAUUCAUGCGAUGAUACUCUAACCCCCUUAUUAUGAAUUACUAGUUCACGCGAUGUUGUAACUACAUAUUCAUGCGAUGAUACCCUAACCCUUGGUGGGCACGUAUUGAGGGAGUAAUCCCUGAAUCAAUAUUGUCUAGGCGAUGAUACUUAGGGAAAGUCCUUAGGAACAAACAUAAAAGGAGAUGCGAUGUAAGGAGAUGAGAGGUAAAAUAUGAUGUAGGAGACGACCUUUAGGAUAAAUCCUUAGGGAGGGUACUUAGGAAUAAAGAAGAUAAUGGGGAUGGGUAAUUGGGUUAAUUUUUUGAUGAUUGAACAUAAUAAUUAUAUUAUUGUGGGUUGAAAACCCUAUGUACUGUAACGCCCGUAGAUCCGGGCUAGUCAAUUUAGAGGCAAUAAGUGUCGAAAAUGACUUUUUGGCAAAAGAUUAUUUAUAAUAAAUAGUCUUAACCAAGUUGUAGAAUAUGUCUCAAGGUUUCCGUACAUAUAAAGAACGCCGAAAUCCGAGUUAUAACGAAGGAGUCAUGGCCCGUCGAAGUUUUACGGCAAAACCGGCACGAUACCGGGAAGCGUAAAUAGUGAAUUUACGAUAGAGCAAGAUUUAGCCUUAGCGACCUAAACGAAAGUCGUAGAAUAUGUUAAACCGAGAAAAUCCAUAAAAAGAACGCCCAAAUCUGACUUCGUAUGAAGAAGUUAUGAUUUUUCUAAGAUUCGGCUUAGCAGUGCACGACCCGAAACUUGAAUUUUAGUUCGAGCGGUUUUGGGCAUAGGCGACCUAAAUGAGAGUUGAAGAUCUCAUUAAUAGGAACUCAGCGGUAAAAAGAUGGACGAAAACGGAGUCCGUAUGAAGAAGUUACGAAUUCUUCGCGGUCAUUUAACAGUCUAAACACCUCCUAUUGUUAAAUUUGAGAUCGGUCGAGAAUUAGCCGACAUAGUCUAAAUGAAAGUUGUAGAUCUUGUUUUUACCUACGUGUGGAUAUAAAGAACGUCGAAAAAGGAGUUCGUAUGCGAAAGUGAUGAAUUUUUGAAAAUCGGCUGAUUUUCAUCCUGUGUGCGAUGCCACGUGUCAGCACCAGGCUGCGCCUGGCUGUAGCCAGCCUGGCUCACGACGUGAAAAUUUAAAAUUCACGACGUGAACCUUCCUCCAUCCCCUAUAAGUAAGUGGUGAGGCCUCCAUUCAUUCCUCACACCUCCCCUCACUUCCCUCUCUCUCUAGAACUUCUUUCUAGCCCCGAAACCCCUCGAAACACCUCGAAAAGCCUAGGGAACCUCCCUAGCGCGAGGCGGAAGCCCCGGAGUGCCCGAAGGCUCCGAGAAGAAGACCCUUUCGGCUCGGGAACGCUGCUCCAGCGGCGCCCGGUUUUGAGAAAAACCCGCUGUAAGUAAGCUACGCCUACGCUAUUUUUAAUAUAGCUUUUAUUUAAUUAUAGUAACGUUAUUAGGAACUUAUAAUAAAUACUUGGACUAUUAUUAUGGGUUAUAUAAGUAUUAUUUAAAGCUUAUAUAAUAGUAAUAAUAGCUAGACUAUUAAUUAGUCGUGGUUAUCGUUAGACUAAACCCAAGUGGUACUGGUACUAGGUUUUAUCGAAGGAAAAUUGUUUUGAGAGUAUCGAAGCGCUGAGUCACCAACUUUCAGGUGAGUGCAUAGUUACUUUCAGCUUACACAUAGAUAUGAAGUAUUUUAUAUAAAUUACGUGCUAUGUGUGCAUAUUAUCUGAAUACUUGCUAUCUAUGCUGGAUGAACAUUUUUAUACAUGUUUUCAAUGAUUUNNNNNNNNNNNNNNNNNNNNNNNNNNNNNNNNNNNNNNNNNNNNNNNNNNNNNNNNNNNNNNNNNNNNNNNNNNNNNNNNNNNNNNNNNNNNNNNNNNNNNNNNNNNNNNNNNNNNNNNNNNNNNNNNNNNNNNNNNNNNNNNNNNNNNNNNNNNNNNNNNNNNNNNNNNNNNNNNNNNNNNNNNNNNNNNNNNNNNNNNNNNNNNNNNNNNNNNNNNNNNNNNNNNNNNNNNNNNNNNNNNNNNNNNNNNNNNNNNNNNNNNNNNNNNNNNNNNNNNNNNNNNNNNNNNNNNNNNNNNNNNNNNNNNNNNNNNNNNNNNNNNNNNNNNNNNNNNNNNNNNNNNNNNNNNNNNNNNNNNNNNNNNNNNNNNNNNNNNNNNNNNNNNNNNNNNNNNNNNNNNNNNNNNNNNNNNNNNNNNNNNNNNNNNNNNNNNNNNNNNNNNNNNNNNNNNNNNNNNNNNNNNNNNNNNNNNNNNNNNNNNNNNNNNNNNNNNNNNNNNNNNNNNNNNNNNNNNNNNNNNNNNNNNNNNNNNNNNNNNNNNNNNNNNNNNNNNNNNNNNNNNNNNNNNNNNNNNNNNNNNNNNNNNNNNNNNNNNNNNNNNNNNNNNNNNNNNNNNNNNNNNNNNNNNNNNNNNNNNNNNNNNNNNNNNNNNNNNNNNNNNNNNNNNNNNNNNNNNNNNNNNNNNNNNNNNNNNNNNNNNNNNNNNNNNNNNNNNNNNNNNNNNNNNNNNNNNNNNNNNNNNNNNNNNNNNNNNNNNNNNNNNNNNNNNNNNNNNNNNNNNNNNNNNNNNNNNNNNNNNNNNNNNNNNNNNNNNNNNNNNNNNNNNNNNNNNNNNNNNNNNNNNNNNNNNNNNNNNNNNNNNNNNNNNNNNNNNNNNNNNNNNNNNNNNNNNNNNNNNNNNNNNNNNNNNNNNNNNNNNNNNNNNNNNNNNNNNNNNNNNNNNNNNNNNNNNNNNNNNNNNNNNNNNNNNNNNNNNNNNNNNNNNNNNNNNNNNNNNNNNNNNNNNNNNNNNNNNNNNNNNNNNNNNNNNNNNNNNNNNNNNNNNNNNNNNNNNNNNNNNNNNNNNNNNNNNNNNNNNNNNNNNNNNNNNNNNNNNNNNNNNNNNNNNNNNNNNNNNNNNNNNNNNNNNNNNNNNNNNNNNNNNNNNNNNNNNNNNNNNNNNNNNNNNNNNNNNNNNNNNNNNNNNNNNNNNNNNNNNNNNNNNNNNNNNNNNNNNNNNNNNNNNNNNNNNNNNNNNNNNNNNNNNNNNNNNNNNNNNNNNNNNNNNNNNNNNNNNNNNNNNNNNNNNNNNNNNNNNNNNNNNNNNNNNNNNNNNNNNNNNNNNNNNNNNNNNNNNNNNNNNNNNNNNNNNNNNNNNNNNNNNNNNNNNNNNNNNNNNNNNNNNNNNNNNNNNNNNNNNNNNNNNGGAUUUAGUACCUGUAGGAAUUGGUAGCUAUGGACUUAGUACCUGUUGAACAUUGGUAGCUAUGGACUUAGUACCUAUUAGAUAAAGACUGGUAGCUAUGGAUUUAGUACCCGAUGAAUAGACUAUAGCAGCUAUGGAAUUAGUGCUUUAUGAACGAACAUUGGCAGCUAUGGAUUUAGUGCCAGUCCCAUAACCCUGGAAGUAAGGGACUUCGGAAUAAACGAAUGCAGGAUAGAUGACUCUUAGGUUAAAUCCUUAAAGAGUAAAGAAGAUAAUGGGGAUGGGUAAUUGGGUUGAUUGUUUGAUUGAACAUAAUAAUUAUAUUAUUGUGGGUUGAAAACCCUAUGUACUCACCAGGUUUCCCAACCUGACCCACUCAGUUUAUGUAUAUCACAGGUGACGAAGUGAAGUGACAUUACACUGAGAGAUUUAAAAGAGAUGUAGAUCACUAGUGUAAAUCAUUGUAAGUUCUGUUUAUGCUUAUGUUUCGGUAUUAACGAUGACAUCCCAAACAUUUUAAAAUGAAAUAAAUACGUUUCUUCGAAAAUGUUUUAAUAACGUAUUUACCAUGUUUUUCUGGGAACAAAUUCCGCAACCUUUUUAUAAAAUGAAGUACUCUGAUUUUUAUAAAGCAUAAACAAAAUCGGUCUUUUCUGGCCGUGAUUUUGGGGAUGUCACAGUUGGUAUCAGAGCAUUAGUUUAAGCGAACUAGGAAUAUGGAUUUAUUUCUAGACUUAAACUUAGAAUGCUAAGCGAUGAUUGUGAGGUGUGAGCACUAGCUUAUUUUAGGAAUGAUGCCUAAAUUGCUUUUAUGUGCUAAAUGAUUUGUUAUGCUAUAGUUUGAUCGGAUCUAUGGUCUGUUGCCGACCGGAUCUGGAAACCUUAUGUGUUUAGGAUUCUAAACGUACGACUACGAUAUUAGAACUAGCAUGUAAACGUUUCGGAGUGAUAAGGAUGAUUUAAACGUCAAUCCUAAGUAAAGGUCUAGAUUCACCUCAUUAGGUGUAUAGAUCAAGAUGGUAAGAACCCGUAGUGGAAACGUAAAUGCAAAUGGGAACAGAAACCAACCCCCAGUGAUUGAGCAAAUACCGGUGAUGGAAGCCACUGCUGAGCCAGUCACAAUGGCCGGAGUGCAAGCGAUGAUCCAAGCGAUGUUGGAUCGUCAAAUGGAGGAAACCAGGCGUUUGCUCCAGCAAAAUCGAGAGGAAGCGACCAUUCAGAUCGAACGGCCCGAGUUGAACGAGGGGCAGACUGAGGAGGGAAACUACAGUGGGACUGUUGGUCAAGCCAACCCACCAAUGGUUAAGCAAAACCACCAGGAUGGAGGAAAUGAUGGACGUGGAUGCAAAUACAAGGAUUUCAUGGCGUCCAAACCACCGAGUCUAUCUGGAAGCCCGACGCCGGUGGAAGUCAUAAACUGGAUCUCCGAGAUGGAGACGAUGUUUGAGAGUUGCGAGUGUAGCAACAGGCAAAAGACCGCUCUCGCGGUUCCUUUGUUGAAAUCUGGAGUACUAAGCUGGUGGAAGCUACUAGCCGAUUCGAUGCCCAAAGGAGAAGCGAGCAAGAUGUCAUGGGAGGAUUUUCUGGUGCAGUUAAAAAUGCAGUACUACUCUGAGCAGGAUCUUCUGGAGAUCAACAACGAGUUUCAGAAUCUAAAGAAGGGAAAGAUGAGUGUCAUCGAGUAUGCUGCCAGUUUUACGGAGAAAAUGAAGCUUAUUCCUUAUCUAGUUCCAACUGAGCUCUCCAAGGUCAACAAGUUUGCCCAUGGAUUACCAGUAGACUUUGGACCAAUAGUCAAGCAAGUAACCACUUUGAAAGGAGACAUCUGGGCAUCCAGGAAUGUUGAGACCCAGAUUAGGGAAAAAGGUCUGGAGAGAGCUGAAGUUGGCGAGAAAAGGAAGCAUGAAGGAUCUUCAAAAUACAACAAAGAAAAGAAAUUCUCAAUGAAUGAAGAGGGAGGAGGAGGUGAAACCAAGUGGUGCGAGAAGUGUAAAAAGAAGCACUUCGGGAAAUGUGGCGAGGACGUGACUUGCUACAAAUGUGGAAAGACAGGGCAUUACGCCAACAAGUGUGCAUCCAACAAGAAGGUGUGUUAUGGAUGUAACAAAGAAGGGCAUAUUUAUAGGGACUGUCCGGGGAAAAAUAAAGCGGCUAGUCCAGAAACGCCACCGAGGCCAAGGGCAUUCCACAUGAUCCUCGACGAAGCAGAAAACCAUGCAAGGAAUCAAGGAUGAGGACUUCAUAUCUGAAGAUCAAGAUAUGCAGUAGCCAUAGUAUCAUAUGAUGUAGCCCAUUAGAGGCAUAGUCCAGGGUGAACUUGAACACCUAUGUAAUAGUUUCAAGAAAUAAUAAAAUCUUCAUUUUGUUAUCUGGUGUAUUAAAUUGUUAUGUGAUUUUCUUGUAUGAUGACUUGGAAAACUGCGAGACGAUACUUGGGACGAGUAUGAGUAGGUGUGAAUGGUAGUAGAGGCCUAUACUAUCGGAAACACAGGACUCACACUUGGAUCAGGGAAAGUCACAAUGUUACCAAGAAGCUAGUAAUUGAUUUCGUUUUAUUCAAGUAUGUCGUUACCAUUGUUUCGGUUAUGACUAAGAAAAUUGUUGUUAUCCCAACCCUAGUGGUCAUGUCACAUUGAGUUCGACUACGAUGAGUAGGUUACGUGGUUCAGAGAACUAAGUUUGAUGUAGCGUCCGACUUUAACCAAACAAUUGAAAUCAAAGCGACCAAUAGAAGUAUCGCGCUCGAUGCUAAAGAAGUUGGUAGCUAGAAAUGCUACAUGUUAAAGUGUGAUUAUAUCACAUUAGAACAUGAAGGAAGGCAUAGUCUGUUUUAGAAUUUAAUUCUAAGAGACCCGAGUCUAAACGUUCAUCACAUGAUGAUAGGUCAUUAUUUGGAUUCUAACCCGAGGUAGAGAGCAGGUGCACGAUCAAGUAUUGAUUACAGUCAAUAAGUCUAAGAGAUCGACUUGAAGGAAUAUAGAAGUUAUAAUUAUUACCUAGAAUGAAGGGAUGAUGUAUGGAGUCAUCAUACGACCCUGUUUCGUUGAUGAUUCCAAGAUGUAAUCAUCCUAAGAGGGAGAUAAUUGUAACGCCCGCAGAUCCGGGUUAGUUAAUUUAGAGGCAAUAGGGGUUGAAAACGACUUUUCGACAAUAGAUUAUUUAGAAUAAAUAAUCUUAACCAAGUUUUAGAAUAUGUCACAAGGUUUCCGUACAUAUAAAGAACGCCGAAAUCCGAGUUAUAACGAAGAAGUUAUGACGCGUCGAAGUUUCACGUCGGAACCGGCACGACACCAGGAAGCGUAAAUAGUAAAUGUACAAUAGAGUGAGAUUUAGCCUUAGCGCUCUAAACGAAAGUCAUAGAGUAUGUUAAACUAAGAACAUCGAUAAAAAGAACGCCCAAAUCUGACUUCGUAUGAGGAAGUUAUGAUUUUUCGAAGUUUCGGAUUAGCAGUGUACAACCCGAAAUUCGAAUAUUAGAUUGAGCGGUUUUUAGCCGACACGACCUGAACGAGAAUCGAAUAUCUCGUUAAGAGUAGCGUAAUGAGAAAAAGAUGGGCAAAAGCGGACAUCGGAUGAAGAAGUUAUGAGGAUUUAACGGACCAAUCAUGUCCCGGCCUGUUAAUAAUAUAAAAUUUAAAAUCGAGUCAAAAUUAGCCGACGAAGUCUAAACGAAAGUUGUAGAGUACGUUCCCGCCUUCGCGUGGAUAUAAAGAACGUCGAAAAAGGAGUUUGUACGCAAAAGUUACGAAUUUUUAAAGUUGGAAAGUGAAAUUGCGAAACUGAUGCAUGGACUGAUGACGUGCUUAAUCCUGACCGUCGCUUGCUGAUCACGGCUCGCUUCGUAUGGCCGACACGUGGUCCUCGCAUACGCCCCGCGUACCCUCGCCUUACCUCUUCCGAUGUUGCAAGCCAGCUGGUGCGAAGCUGGCACCCUUAUCUGAACUAAGGCCCAGCGUAAGGUCCGAAGUCUGGGCUAUAAAUAGAAGGCCGAGNAUAAAUAGAAGGUCGAGGCUGCCAUUCUGCUUCACUCCAAAACCUCUUCUUUCUCUCACUAAUUUCUCUCUCUACAACCCCAAACCCCCCCUAAACCCUAGAUAAACCCCUUAGCACCCGAUGGAAGCCCCGAGACUCCCAAAGUCCCGAGAAAAAGGAGUCUUUCGGUUUCGAAACGCUGCUCCAAUUAAGUUCCAGUUUUCGAUAAAAUUCGCUGUAAGUGAACUACGCUUACGCAACUUUUAAUAUAGAUUACAAAUAAUUAUAGUAAUGUUAUUAGGUCCUUAAAAUAAUUAUUUGGGCUAUUAUUAUGAGUUAUAUUGAGUGCUAUUAACGCUUAUAUAAUAAUAAUAAUAGCCAGACUAUUAAUUUGUCGUGGUUAUCGUUAGACUAAACCCUAGUGGUAUUGGUAUUAGGUUUUAUCGAAGGAAAUAAUUUUGAGAGUAUCGAAGCGCUGUCCGAGUGCUGAGUCACCACCUUUCAGGUGAGUGCAUGGUCCCCUUCAACUUACACAGAGAUAUGAAGUAUUUACUACGUGCUAUGUGUGCAUAUUGUCUGUUUACUUGCUGUCUAUGCUUGGUGAAAGAUUUUAUACAUGUUUUAAAUGAUUUAAACUAUAUAUGUAUUUUAUAUCUACGAAAAUGUUGGGGUAAAACAUGGGUAGAUAUAAUAGAUGAAAUAAGAGUUGGACGAUGAGUUGAGAGGUGAUAUAGACUAUGAGGUAUGGGUGAGAGGUGUACAAUGUGAGAAGCCUUUUUCCCAAACGAUGUCCCCGUCAUUCAGCAGAGUAUGGAUGACAACCACGGACUAUUCUAGAUAGUCCAGUGGAACACUAGCAGGCUCGCAACCUGUAGGUGUUGUGAACGAUGUGUUCACUCGGUGUACUCUAAACCUUGGUGAUCAUGCAGACUUGAUGCCUAGACCCUGGUGAUCAUGCAGACUUGGUGCCAAAACCCUGGUGGCUAUGCAGACUUAGUGCCUAUUGUAUAAAUUCUGGCGACUAUGCAGACUUAGUGCCUAAACCCCGGUGACGAUGGACUUCGUGCCGAUUCCUUAGGAUGAUCCUUAGGAAUGUAUGAACGAGGAAUGGUUGAUUCUUAGGGUAGAUCCUUAAGAAUAAAGAAGAUAAUGGGGAUGGGUAAUUGGGUUGAUUGUUUGAUUGUUUGAACAUAAUAAUUAUAUUACUGUGGGUUGAAAAUCCUAUGUACUCACCAGGUUUCCCAACCUGACCCACUCAGUUUAUUUAUAUCACUGGUGUUGAUAUGAAGUCACAUUACCCUGAGAGAUUUAAAGAGAUGUAGAUCACUAGUGUAAAUAAAUGUAAGUUCUGUUUAUGCUUAUGUUUCUGUAUUAACGAUGACAUCCCAAACGUUUUAAAAUGAAUAAAAUACGUUUCUUCGAAAAUGUUUUAAUAACGUAUUUAUCAUGUUUUACUGGGAACAAAUUCUGCAACAUUUUUAUUAAAAGAAGUACUCUGAUUUUUAUAAAGCAUAAACAAAAAAAUCGGUCUUUUCUGGCUGUGAAAAUGGGGAUGUCACAACCUCCCUCAAGUGCUCCUCGUGCUGGAAUAUAACCGAUCUAUACAUGAACGAAACCUUCCCGAAGGUAGUGAGAUACUACCGAGUUUUACUCACACUUGCUACAGUUACUACAUCCGUAGUAACCUACUCUACAGGGGACGACCUCCAGCUAUCAUUCCAAAUCCAAGAUAUGGAGAUGGCAUAUGACUCACUCGCAAGUAGGUAAUAUAAUAUUCCAAUAUAUGUACCUACUAAAUUGGUGCAGUAACAUAACAACAACAUCAUAAAUAAUAAUUGACAAGAAGGUAAAAGAUAUGUACCUCCAACAUCCCAUGCUGCUCGAAUCCUUGCUGAAGUCAACCGAAAUGCUUUGCUCCGAGCCAUGGGAGCCUUUGCCCGACCUUGACGUCUGCUGGCGGUUCUCGAAGUCACAGGGGCAGGAGCUGUCACCUGCCNNNNNNNNNNNNNNNNNNNNNNNNNNNNNNNNNNCCUGCCCUGCUGAACACAAACUCGGACAGUGGGCCUUCUUGUGGCCCCUCCGACUGCAAUGGAAACAUAUUGGGUCAAAUCCCUAGGCGAUGGUAGCAGUACAAUCUCUGCUAAAAUGACCAGUUUGGCCGCACUUGAAACAACGAGGAUCACCACCUCUACUACUCCUACACACACCCUCGUGCGUCCUGCCCCACUUACCGCAUCGGCUAUGGCCCUGGAAGUCUCUUGAUCUCGAACUCGGCCCUUUGGUUCUUUUACCCGAACAUGUGGGCCACUAAACCCCAUCCGGUUGCCUCUUCCUUUCUGACUCCUGGUCAAUCUCUCGCUCAUGCGUUACCUCAUCAAUCGUCUGAACAACUGCUGUCUUAUCCUGGAGCUUCUCGGUCAACCUAUCAGUGACCCUCUCAACGAUGUCGGGUAGCUCCUCGCGAACGACUCGUGAAACCUCCGCAACAACCCAAUCAUGCAGAGAACUCUCCUAGGGACAGGGUGCCCCACUCACUCCCGACCCCUGAUGGAAAGAGCUAAAAAUGGGACCUCCUCCCCAAUGGAUCCCUAGGAUCCAUAAGAUUCGGGCUCUAGACAAGCCCUAAACUACCCUGAAACUAACCCGGCUCUAAAGGCCUCAAGCCAACUGUCCAAAAGCUCCAUGAUGGCCUCCCUAACCAAAUCGAAUAUCAUUGGAGUCUGAUCAAUGAUGUUAUGCAUAAUCUCUACGGAAAUGACAUCUCUUAUUUGAUCAUCAAGCUGCCCGACUCUAGAGCCUGAGCCAGAUCCCUCCCCGGCACCUGAACUGCCAACUGGUAUCUCGCGCAACGUCACCAUGCUGAAAACAUAUCGCAAUAACUUUCAGAAUACUCAUUGCUGCUGAGGGACCUCUCACACACUCUACAAUUCCCCUGGUUUCGUCUUGGCCCCCUCUUGAAUCGAGUACGGAUCCUCUACUUUCAGUAGUACGGGCCCAUACUACCUUCCACAUCUAUCCGUACUCUCCUCAAGAGUUACCUGAACUCAACUAAGUCCCUUCUACUACUACUGGUCUCUGCUACUCUAAUCCUAGGAUUUCCCUAGGGGAAAUCCCUGACUCUACCCAACCCAGUCUUCAGCUGCUGAAGGCUUCCUUGUAAUGCCAAUUAGCCAUCACUGGAAUAUCAUCACAUGUGACGAGGCUCAGAUAAUCCUUCGAGUAGAAGACUCGUCCCUAUAACGGUUAGACUCAGACGAGAGCUGCGCAAUAGGGCCAAAUCCAACACUCUGAGAUUAUUCAACCCUGAUCACACGUGACGUGACGUAUUCACCUGAUGGCUAACUCCCAUCACUCAGAGUCCUACAAAGCAAAAAGCAAGCAGCAUUCGGACACAGGAAACUACUCAAGCACAUCUAUUCUCAUAACGAGAAACUGUACUAGCAUACAAUGCUAAGCUCAUACUAUCAGGCAUAACCUAAACAUGCUAUCCUACUACUCGCUACUCAAUUCUAGCAUGCAAUUCUCAUAAAACUAAAACACAUAUAGCAGGCACAUAAGACAUCCUCCUAGAUCCUUAGUCCUAUUCUAGCAUGCUGUUCUACUAAAACUGAAACUGAUAAUCAUAACAUAAACUUGUAUGGGUAAUUUGGGAGUACUUACUUGAGCUCGGCUGAUUGCAUGCACCACACCCUUUUCUCUUUUCAAAAUUCUUUUCGCUUUUUCUAAAACUCUUUUCUUUAUACUUUUUCUAAAAUUGUUUUCUUUUCUCAAAAUCCUUUUGUAAACAUGGUUUUUCUCUUGAAAACUUUAUACCACUUCCUUAGUUUGAGUUCAGACACACCCGAAAGUAUGCUCGAAUCCCUCAAACCAAGGCUCUGAUACCAACUUGUAAGGACCCAAAAGUCAUGACUAAAAAUUUCAUUUGAAUAAUAUUACUUAAACCACGAUUGUCAAUCCAUAACAUGAAUUAUAGUAUAAAUUCAGAGUGUUAGUUCAAAGCAUAUUCUUAUCAUCAGAGUAAAACAUCCCAGGCUGACUAACUAUGGUGUGUGCCAUGCGAUCAUCCCGAGCUCUUCCCUCCGCUACCGGAAGUACCUGAAACCAAAACUGAAAACUGUAAGCACGAAGUUUAGUGACCUCCCCCAAACUACCACAUACCAUACAAUAACAUAUAAAGCACAUAUUAGGCCUUGCCCACUACAUCGGACCGAAGUCCGGACUAACUGAACAUAGCAUAACAUGAUCAUAGCAUAUAACAUAAGCACAUAUACUGCAUACUCCAUCGGACCGAGUUCCGGACUACCUAACACAUAAACAUGCUUGAAUCACAAAGAAAUCAAACAUACUAAACUACUGCAUCGGACCAAAGUCCGAAACUACUGCUAUUUAAACGGGCCGACAUUGUGGCCAUAGACCCGUUCCUACUGGAAGAAAAAGUCACCUGUACUGCUAAACUCUACUGAUGAUCCUCUGGUUGCUAAUCGACUAUUCUCUGAAGCGUUGCUCUCCUAGCUCACCGAGCUACCAACACCAAAUAAUAGAACUUAGCCUAAACUGUCAUCUAGAGGUCAAAUAAGUCAACUCUGGUCAUGGUCCUGGUCAAAGUCAACCUUCCAGUUGACUCGACUCGCCGAGUUGUUCUACCAACUCGCCGAGUCCAUGCUCCUCAAAUCCUAAACAACCUCGACUCCACUCGUCGAGUCUAGCGAGAACUCGACGAGUUCUCCUUCAUCUAACACUUCAGGACUAUCUUCAACCGACUCACUGAGUUGUUCAACAACUCGCUCAGUCCAUCUUCAUCGGCUAAGGAGAUUGCCUUGGACUCGCCGAGUUCCUCCUUGAACUCGUCGAGUACCAUGAUCUUCAUGUCCAUCACGGGCACAGACUGGAUGAGUUCUUCUCUAACCCCACCCACUGAUCCGACUCAUAAACAGAAUGGUUUGGGUUUUGCGACCCGACUCGCCGAGUCCAUGAGAUGACUCGCCGAGUCCUCCUUGUGACAAGUCUAUUCUGUCGAUUUCAGUCUAUUCCAACACUUCCAACUCAUAGAUCUGGACUCCUUAUGCUAUCAUUGCACGUAAAGUUGCUAACUUUACGUGCAUGAAAGGUGUUAUGAGGCUAGAACACCCUAAUCUAAACUACAUUGGAGGUCUAAGUCAUGAAAGGAAGCCAUAGCUGAGUAACGCUUCACACGCAGAGCUUUUAGAGCUCAGAAAUGCUCAGAUCUAAUCUGUAUUCAUCCUCAAAGGCUCAAUACUCGGGUUGGCCUUGGAAAUGGUCCCAAAAGUGACAAGAUACUAGCAAAGAAGGGGAUCUAGAUGAUUAACAACCAAGGUAUGAGCUUCAUACCUUUAAAUGAUCUGAGAUGACACCCAAACUCUGGAUCUAUACUCCUUUCCUUGCUCCUUUCUCCUUCAACCUUCAAGAUGCACUCAAAAGGGACCUUAAUCUUUUCACAUAAGCUCAAGAAUGAAGUUGGGUGGCUAGGGUUUCGUCUAUGGACAAUGGAGGCUGCAAUUGAAACCCUAGAAAUGAGAAUGAGAUGCUUAAAUAGGGUACCAAGUCCCAAAAUUAGGGUUUCCCAACCCAAACCAGACUCGCCGAGUCAGUCUCCACGACUCGUCGAGUCGGUCACUUAAUCCGCGACACAGGUCACGCUCCGACUCGUCGAGUUCCUCCUUGGACUCGAUGAGUUGACUCCUUUGACUUAGGGAUUUUCUUUCCUUUCCUGGUCUUCCUGAUUCCGGGUGUUACAGAAGGUAUUGUGAUUCAUAUCACCAAUUAAAUGGGCAAUUGGAUAAUUCAAAGCUUAUAAUAAUUUUAAUUAUGACAGAAAAACAAAGAUCAAAAGUCAAUAAUUAGCAUCAUUUUGAUUUGUAGAAAAUUGUAUCUAAAAGCACAUUUACUGUUUAGUUAAUUAAUGUGUAAUGAUACACCUGAAGUGUUUGGAUACGUUGAAAUAAUGACGCACCUUUACUUUUAGUUUUUUUUGUAUGUGUUUCAUUUCAUGGUACUUCUUAUUAAAAAAUUCAUUCCCAUCAGAGUAGUUUUGAGUGUAUUAUAUCAUUUUUGUGACCACAAAAUGUAAAUUUACACUAAACAUGGGUAUAUAUGGUAUUUUCACUAGAAGAUAGGACUUUUAUGUAGUUUUGAUUGUAUUAUAUCAUUUUUAUCUUUCAAAUACAUGUAUAUGUAUUAGCCUUAAUGAGUAUACCAAAAAGUGAAUAAUUGUCUUUUGCUUUGUUCUUUUUGUAGAUUAGCGCAUUGGGAAUUCAAUUGAGGAGCUGGAUUCUGCUGAAGUUAUGUUUGAUGGCUAUAUGACACCAAAGAAAAGAGAAAAAAACACAUUACAAUUCACUUGAGGUGUUGGUUGUAGGAGAUAAAAAAGAGGAUGAUGAAUAUCCAUUCAAUAAUUAUGAUGAAUUUCUAAUUAAUGACUAUAAAGGAAAAGUAGUUCCUCCUGGUAAAAAUGCAAGUUAUUUAGAAAUGCAAGUUAUAAAUAUACUGAAGAAUAUGUAUGUUGUUUUGUGUUGGUACAUACAAGUUAAGGUAUAAUAGGCACCUAUUUUUGUAUGGAAGGAGCUGAACAACUUGAGUUUCUUAACAAACCAUGGUGUCCUCUCACCCGUAAACUAAAAAUAUUUGUUGUUAUUUUAAUUCCAUAUCUAUGUGUUUAAAUGCAAGAAAUAGCAACCAACUUUCAUUUAUUUGUUUAUUAUUUUGAAAAUUAUUCUUAAUAUCUAAUUGUGAUGUUGUGUAAUUAUGCAGGCUUCUAGUUUUGGUUCAAAUGAUGGUUCUUCGAUUGGUUCAAAUGGUGGUUUUACAACUAACAUUCCAUGUUUGAUUCUUCUAAUAAUUAUAUUAGCAUAUUAAUUUUUUGACUUUUAUUUGAUCAGGUCACAAGAAUUAUCAGAGCAGGGGUUCAUUAGUCUUAAAGAAUUAUGAAAGGCAAGAUGCAACUCUACUUAGUUGGAAUUUGAUGUUUAUCAUCUUUGUGUAUAUCUUUUUAGUUUGUAUAACAUUACAUUGCAGAAGGUUUCCCUUAAUAGCAAUGUAGUAUUAGGUUAUAUAGUUAGGGAAAACCUCUUAAUAACAAUGUACAAUUAGAUCCCCUUAAUAUCAAUAUAUUACAAUUUUUUUGACAUGAUGUUAUUGGAUGAAAGUGAUUGUUUUGGUAUAUAUUUGUUUACAUAUUUUUGUAUUAUGCGUAAAUGAGUAUCGUAAAGACGCGUCGUAAAUGCAUAUCGAAAAUGGUUACUAAAGUUUAUGACACGCAAAUGUGUGUCAUCUUCAUUUAUGACAGGGGAUUCCUUGAUACGCAUUGCGUGUCAUAAACACACGCGUCUUAAGGUUACGACACGCAAAUGCGUGCCGUCUUCCCUUAUGAUAGGGCUUUCCUUGAUACGCAUUGUGUGUCAUAACUGUGUGUCGUAAAUGCCUGUCAUAAAUGCGCAUCGUAAAUAGACGAUGUGUAAAAGUGUGUCGUCUCUUGUUAUGACAGGGUCUUCCUUGACACACAUUUGCGUGUCGUCCGAGCGUUUUACGACACGCAUUGCGCGUCGUAAAAGACUGUUUUUCUAGUAGUGAAUGUACUUACUCAUUCUAAAAUAUUAAAAUUCGUUUGGUAUAAAAUAUGUAUUCAUUAAAAAUUAUUAAUCUUGAUAAUAUAUGUUUAUAGUAUUCUCUCAAAAUGUAAUGUUUUUUUUAAAGAUAAUCAUACACACAUUUUUUUUAAAAUGUCCGAAUUAAUAUAAUUAUUAUAAAAAAAUCAGAUUUCUAAAAUUAAGAGAAUUAAUUAUUUCCUAAAAUCCGUAAUUUUUAAUUUUUAAAUUUAUUUUAAUUGACUAAAAUACCCUUACAAUGAAAUUAGAUGGUAAUUUUGAAUUAUUUUUAAUUCAAUAAUAUUUAUUAAUCAUUUUCUUAAAAUAACUAAAAUGAUUGGCCUACAAUCAUUCCUACAUCCACAUAAUAAUUAGUUAGAACACAAUAACCUAAGCCUAUAUGUAAUUAGUUGUAAAUUAUUUAUUUCAUGGAAAUAUUAAUUUCAAUGUUAAGUAUAAAAAUAUAUCAUAAAGUAUGAUUUAUUAUGUCAUGUAAAUCUUUGUGGACCAAAAUGGUUUUUUUUUUGUCUUAUAUGGAUUUAUAUGUUUUAUAAGUUAUAAAAAUUAGAAGAGUUUUUAUAGAAAAACUAGCUUCUUUUUAUAAAAUAUUCAAGAAGACUAUAAAAAAAUACUUGCUUUUGAUUAAUUUAUUCAACACGCUAUGCUUUUAGAAAGCAUAGCUAGUUGAUUUGAUGAAGCAUGAGUUUUAAAUGCUAAGACCCAUGGGUAAGGACUUAAAAGAACUAGUUUUCUCACUUCUUUCACUAAGUGAACCAAAAAAUUUAUGGCUUCCCAUCUCUAUAUUUUCUUUAGUUUUUGUCUCUUAAAGUGUUAAGAACAUAAAGAUGAAGAUGAUACUUCAAUACUCUCUUUUAAGGAAAACUAGUUUCUUUGUCUUAUAAGCUUAAGAGAUUCUUUUAUUACAAAAAUAAGACUAGAGUCUUAUUAAGUUGAUUUAUUGUUGGUGGAUAUCUCUGGAGAACUUUUACCUUGAAGUUUCAUGCCACACAUCAUCAACUUCCAAUCUCCCAUGGGAAUCAAAAUCUUCAAAGGUUGUAACAUUUUUUUAUGGUUGUUUUUAACUUUCUAUGUUUUGCAAAAAUAUCUUUUGGUUGAUAUAAAACUACUUUUAUUUUUUCAAAAUCACAGUCUUUCGUUGCCACAUGUUUUUGAAAUAAUUUUUGAAUAAUAACCCAACAAUUUGUAUCAGAGUCAUUUUUGUAAGCUUAGUUAGAUUAUUUGUUAAGUUGAUUAAAUCUUUGUUUUUGGAAAACAUUGAUAGUUUUCACUUUGCAAGAAAAAUCCAUACAUAUUUUCUAUGAAAACUUUAAAAUUUUUAUAAUUUUUAUUUUUUACUAAAAGUUUACAUGUAUCUUUUUAGUCAUAAAAGUUGUCUUAGAAAAACAAAGAGUUUGUAACAUCCGGAUUCCCAUGUAUAUUAUUUUAUUCAUUUAUUUUGAGUUUGGGGAGGAACUCGGCAAGUUGAUGCGUAGACUCACCGAGUAGGAUCACGAGUUCUUAUCCGGAUUAGUGACCGGACUCGACGAGUCGAGUCGUGGACUCGGCGAGUCCAUGCUGUUAAGUGAAACCCUAAUUCUCGGGUUUGGGACCUAUUUAAAGGCUCUUAUAGCCUUCAGUUGCGGCUACCAGACCCUAGAGAGAGACCCUAAGAGAGCUAGAGCGUUUGUGAGGAAGGAAAGGCCAUUUUUGAUCCUUGUGUAGGUGUUCUUGCAAGAAAAAGGUGACCAAGGCAAGAGGGAGCUGAAGAGGGUGCUAUUCUGUAGAUUUCAGAGCUCAAGGACUUCAUAUUUGAGGUAUAGAUUCGAUCCUUCUUCAGUUUUGGUGUUAACCUUGGGAGUUAGGGUUUUCUAGACCCUUUAGAGGCUCGAUUUGAUGAGCAUUUGGUCCCUUCUCGUAUUAAGGCUUUGGAUCUGGAUCCAAAGAGGUCCAGACACCUUAACCCUUUGAUCUUUAUGAUUGAUAUUGGGAGACAUGAGCUUAGGAUGCCAUAUUUGGGUUAUUUCUUCAAAUAGAGUCUUUGGGCCUUUGCACGGGCACCAAGUUCUGAACUUUACGUGAUUAUAAUGCUUGGGAAGGUCGGAUCUAUGGAUUAGAGGAACGGAUCUGACCUCAGGAGGUCUUUUGAGUUUGAGCAUGGCAUGAACUCGCCGAGUCCAAGAACAGACUCAACGAGUAGGAGUAGGUUCUCCGUAAAUCACACAGUUGGUGACUCGCUGAUUUGGGGAAAUGACUCGGUGAGUCAGAGGGGAUCUAGAGGACAUGAGUUCACGACUGAACUCGCUGAGUCAAGAGCCGGACUCGACGAGUUGGGACUGGUUGUCCCGCGAUUCACGAUCAGUGAUGAUUUGAAGAGUGGAGGGUUGACUCAGUGAGUCAGGUGAGGACCAGGAGUGUGAAGGACACACAUGGACUCGUCGAGUCACGUUUGUGCACUCGACGAGUCUGGUCAAGGUUUAACCGUUGACUUUUGUUGACUUUUAGGGAUUCGUCAACAAUUGGACUUGUGGACCGUUUGAAGGGUAAAAUGGUCUUUUAGCCUUCUUAGAGGACAUGAGAGAGAGUCUAGCCUAGCCUGGAGAGCCAUUAUUAAUUGUGAUGAUUAUUUAUGUUUUAGGCAGAGGCUAGAUUAGUGUAUACGCGAGCGAGAUAUCAUUUGAGAUAUCCGAGGUGAGUCUUCUCACUAUACUUUACCUUGAGUGGUAAUUAGAGUUAUAUGACAGAGUUAUUGUAUGCUUUUUAUGUGAUGUGUUGCACUGCAUUAUUUCUAUGUGAUUUAUGCUAUGUGUAUAUCAGAGUUACAACCGGAAGGUUCACAGAGCUAGGACCAGAGGGUCCACAGAGUUAGGGCCAGGGGCCCACAGAGUUAUAGCCUCGAGUGGCUAAAAAGGUGUUUUUNUUAUAGCCUCGAGUGGCUAGUAUGUGUUAUGUGUGGUAUUUUGGGGAACUCACUAAGCGUCGUGCUUACAGUGUUUUGUGUUAUGCGUUUCAGGUACUAGUGAGGAUCGCGGGAAGGCGUCGGCAUGAUUAGUACACACACGCAGAGUUUAUAUAUAUGUUAUGAUCUUGGGAUUUUGACUUAUGUUUGGAUAUGAAACAAUGAGUUUUAUAAUAUUGUGAAAUAAAAUGUUUUUAAAAUGUGAAAAUUUGUUUGAAAUUUUACGGCGUUAUAGAGUUGUUUUAUAUAAUUUUGAGUAUAUAAAUGUCUAUGAUGUGCAUAAACUAGCCAUGGACAUUUGUGUUGUUGCAUGCGUUGAUUUAUUUAAAAUGGUCGUAAUUAUUUAUUUAUUCAUGUGGUAUGUAAUAAUUAAAUAGACAGUUUUCAUUUGUUAAUUUUUGUAAGUAAUAAAUUAGUUUUUAGAAAUAGUUUAUUUUAUAAAAAUGUAACAAGAAUUAAGAUGGUGGCCAUUUUGAAGAUCCAAAGUUUAUAAACUUGAUUUUAUUAAAGUUUGUCAAACUUUGUAAAAUUAUUUUAUAAACUUGCUACAAGGUGUUGAAGCAAGUGGGAGCACAUGAAGACUUUACAAAAUGAAGGUCCCUUCAGUCCCUUUAGGAAUGGACUUAUUAUUUUUGUGAUUACUCACAAAAAUAUUAUUUCAAUUGUGGCUUUGUUUAUGCACAUAUGUUUAUAGCAUAUUUGUGUUGUUUUAUAUUUAUGCUGUUAUUAUUAUGUUAUGGUUGAUAAAUUAAUUUUUAAAAUGCAAAAUAAUAUUUGAACAUAAAUAAACAUCACAAAAGAGUUUGAUUUUAAUGAAAUUUACCUUUUAGCAUAAGAUGGUAAAAGUAGUUUUAAAAUAAAACAAGUUUUUUCGUUAAAACUAGUAACCGGUAAAAUUUUGGGAAUAAAAUUAUAUAAGUUUAAAAUAGAGAUAUGUAAACUUCUCAAACUUCAAACCUUAAUUUAUAAAAUAAAUUUUAUUAAAAGGUUUGAAAAUGUUCUAAAACGCUAAAAUAUUGACUUAAUAGUAGUUAUUAAAAUUUGAUCGCGUCAAUUUUAUAAAACCAGAUUUUAUAAAAGAACAUUGUUAAAAUGUGAUUCUUUUUUUUCAUAAAAUAAUAUUUUAAAGUAUACUAUGGUUUAUUGGAUGUAUGCAAUAACCAUGAUAUAAUAUGUUUUUGAAAACUAUAACUAUAAAACCAUCAAAAACCCCUUACAAAUCUCAAAUCUAUGCAAUCCCUUUUGAAGAACACUCGCGAUUUCUCUAACCAAGUUAUAGACCGAUUACACAAGUUUUUCAAAUUGGAUGAUUUGAUCGGAAAUCUUUUGUGAUCAAUGUCACCUAAGAAAGAGAGAUCCGAUGCAUAUAUGGGAUGUAACAUGUCUAAUGAAAAUUUUUAAUAGUGAUCCCAUAAAUCUAUGAAUUAUAUAGUAAGAUAUAAUUGAUAAUCAAUAUCUACCAGACUAAAUUCAAAUGAAUGAGAUAAAGGUCACAUAAUCAUUUAUUUGUUUUGCAACUUGGAUCCUAGACUUUGAUAAUUAAUGUUUUUGGAAACUAAAAGGGUAUUAAUUAUUAAAGACUAAAUAUUGAAAAUACUAAAUGAAUUUUGUAAAUAAAUAAUCCACACUCAUUACUAUGAAUAGUUAUUUUCGUUAAAUGACUUGAUAAAACAAUAACAUUCAAUAGACAUAACUUCAAUAAAUGAGUUCAUGUCUUGAGAGAGAAUCUCAUGAGAGAUGUGAAAUUAUAUACACUUAAAGGUCAUAGUCCUAAACAAUUUGCUUUGUGCAAUAGACCUGAGCAUGAUACCUAUUAAAGGCAUCACUGUGAUGCUCAAGAUGCUUCUAACAUCAUACUAGGAAUAGUUAUUCCUGAUUUCCAGGAAGUCUUGGAUAAUAUNUAUAUAUAUAUAUAUAUAUAUAUGAUAUAACAGGUUAAACAAUAUUCCAAAAAAUAUAGUGAUAUUUGUUUUAAACUUGUUUAAAUAGUGGAAUAAUGCAAGGAUGAAAAGAGUGACCUUAUGUGAUCUAGGAAGCCUAUGUUUAAAGGACUGAGCACCUUUAAGCCCAAGAAAUCUAAGAAGACUCGCAUAGAUGGAUCUUGUUUCUUUUGUGGAGAAAAUGGAUACUGGAUGAUAAAUUACUUCUCUUACCUGAAAAAAAAAGUUCGGGAGAGACUAGUACUUCAGGUAUCUAUUAGAUAGAACUUAUACUUUUCAUAUAACACUCAAGUACUUGGUACUUAAAUCUUAAGCUAAUAUUUGUGACUUGUUUGCAUAUAAUUACAAAAGAGUAACCAACUGAGCACAAACAAGUUGUAACCACACUCUCAGAGUUUAGUUCAUUAUUUAUGCUUAGAACAUAAAUUACUUGUAAUAUACAACAAUGUUUGUUUUGGAACAUUGUAUGUUUUAAAUUUAGCAUGUCUAAAUAUUUAUGUCUCAGUUGUUUUAUUUAAAUGUUUGAUUAUUUACUUGAUCAUUUUUAUAACGAUAAUACUCAUAUUCUGAAACGAUUAACUUCUGUUUAUGAAACUAGAUCUCUUAAUAGAACUAUAAAUUAAAUAUCAAUAUUUUAAUAAAUAAAAUUAAGUUCUAAUUGCAAACACUUUUGGCUUAAACUUGUUUUGAAUCAAAGUUAUCUAAGGCAUUGUUAUAUUUUAUUAUAUAAAUGAAAUAUACAUAUUCCAACUUCAAGAAAUGGAUAUUUAAAAGGAAAUAAUGUUGUUUAUUUGACAUAUGUGAAUUUUAUUGUAUAUAAAAUAUUUCUAAUCAAAAUUUUCCUAAUAUGUAGAGGGAAUAAUUUUGAAGGAACUAUACAUUCUGAUGUAUGAAUUCCUUUCUAAUGAAUUUCUAAGAUUUAAUGCAAGAUACCAAAUCAAAUUUAUUAACAACUAUAGUAGUUAUAAUUAUAUUUUACAUGGUAAACAUGAUUGUGAAACCUUUGUUGAUGUUCCAAACAUAAAGUUGGGAUACAAUCCAGUAACACCAUCUAAAGCUUUACGUGAUAAUGAAGGAUAAAUUAGUCCUUACCGGAUAAUGUUUACUUUUUAAUUAGUCGAAAUUAUAUUACUUUAUUCUCUUGGGAUUAUACAUUAAUCACUAUUAAUUGUAUCUUAAUUACAAACACCAACAAAUUACAUAUCUGUAGAAUAUUCUAAAGGGGCAUUUAGAUUAUUAAUACAAACCCAUAAAGAAUAAGUUCUCUUAUUCUUCUGAAUGUUGAGUUAGCAGAAAGCAAGCUUCUAGUGACAAAUCAAGUGGAAGGCACAUGGAACUUGAAUAAGCUCAAGAACCGUAGCUUCAUGUAGCAAUUGUUGACACUAGUUUCAACAAGGAAUUGUUAAAAUUGAAUAAUAGUUAUUCACAAAUACAAACUGUUCGUAUUAAUGGUAGAAAUCAUCAUUGAUUUGAGAAAUGUGGAAUCUCUCAUUGAUGAGUUCUUUUUGAUAGUUUCUGGAAAAUCCAUCGACUACCAAGAUGCUAUAUCAAAUCUUGAAUUUGAUAAAUGAAUUAGAGUCAUGAACAUUGAUAUGUAAUUCAUGUAUAAUGUAACAUCCCGAUGUUGAGGUAUUUUCAAUUGUAACCCUAUGUAUGAUUAAAUGUUGCAUUUUGGUCCCUAAGUAUAAGAAAGAGUAUAAAAUGGACCAUAUUGGCAUUUUGGUAAUUUAGUCAAUGAUUAGUAUGUUGUAGGGUGUUUACGGGGCGGUUCGACUCAGAUAGUAAUAAAAUUAUGAACCGUGACCACGGGGCAGGCAUCUUACAUGCACUAUUCGAAGCGAAACGAAUUGUAUAAUAAACCGAAUUGAACCAAACCGUAUAAAAGCGGGUAACCACGACUCGGUUCACUGUUACCCGCUAUAAAAGAUCAAAUUUUGUUGGAGUUCUAACACCAUACAUUACCAAAAAAUGAUAAAUGUGAUACAUAGACAUAAAUAAGAUACUAUACACUGAUACAUAUAUAUAUGACAGAAAACAUAUCAUGCAUAAUAAUAUAAACAAAUAUACAAAAUUUGAGAAAAAACCAGUUAUAUAUUUAGUACUAAAAUAAAAACAUUUAAUUUAAGGAACUAAUGCUUCAAUAAUGUAUAAAGUAGAGAAAAUGAAAACCCUAAUUUUUAUUUGGACACUCCUAGUACGAUGGACAUACACCUCAUACGCGGGGCGUACGUAGUGAAAAUAAAAACCCUAAUUUUUAGGGUUUGAUCCAUAUAUAAACAUCAUUAUCUCUCAUUUCUCAUUCCCUCACUAGCCUCCCUUUGUGAAAAUAGACCCCAAGCAAACCCUAAGUGAUAAUAGUGCAUUUUGAGCCCAUUGGUGUACUUUGGUAGUGUUUGUGAAGAUUAAGAUGAUGAUGAUGAGAAGAGAUUGGAGCUUGGAAGCAACUUAGAUCUAGGAUUCCACACUUGUUGGCAACAUCUUGGAGGUAAAAAGUUCACAACCUGAUUACUUUAUCUUGUAGAUCUAGCCAUUUCUUCCUUUAGGGCACUUCUGGUCCAAAAUAUGGUGAUUCUUGAGCAUGACAUGUUCUUGAUAAAAUAAGUCAUCCUUUAAGACCUUAUGGGGGGUCUUAAGUCAUAAAAAUGUGGUCUUGAUGGUUAGUUUUACUCCAUGCAUGUUAUAGAAGGUUUUAAUGCAUUAAGAUGUUAAGAUUUGGUGUUUUAAGCACUUAAUGGACAUGUAAAGUCAUAAAGUUGGAAACUUUAUGACUCAUGAUGGUAUUUUAGCCUUGGAUCUAUAAUUAGACAUCUUAAGUCGAAGAAAUAAGUGCUUAAUAGGCUAAGAGAAGGACUGCUGCGUAUGUUGGGCAUACCGCAGGGUACGCUGCGUGUACGCAGAUAUGGCCUCGAUGCCUCAGACACACUUGUUUACCCCGCGUACAAAGCCUGAGUCAAGUCGGUUGAGUUGACUUGGUUGAAUUGUUGACUUUGAGUAGUUUUGACCAAGGGUGUUGUGGGAAAAUGUUAUUAAUUUAGAAAGGAAAUGCAUUGACAUUUAGGAUUUGGGUUGGGCCGGUAUUUGGGAGUAGAGUGUUGAUCAGAUAUUCGUCAAACUGUGAGGUGAGUUUCCUCACUGUUCUUGGGGUUGAAGGUACCAAUGCCGGCCCCUUUGGUUAUGUAUCCUGGUAUUUAGGAUGUUGCUAUAUAGUAGUAAUCUGUAGAUCUGUCUGCUAGUCUGUUAAUUGGUUAUAUGAUUAUAUGUUGUUGGAUAUAUGUUAUUUGUUAUAUGCAUGUCGACGUGGUAUGGUGGGGUUGAGACUGUAGUGCUUUGUGCUAUAAGUCAAUAGACCAGGGCAUUCCAACCGGAAGGUUGUGGGCCGGAGGUAAUCUAACCAGAAGGUUGUGGACCUGUUAUGUUAUGUAUUGGGCACUCUAACCGUAAGGUUGUGGGCCAGAGCAUUCCAACCGUAAGGUUAUGGGCAAGGGGUAAUCCAAACAGGAGGUUGUAGACCUAUUAUCUGUUUGAUUAUAUGUUUUUGUGGUGGUGCUUUGGGGGAAACUCACUAAGCGUUGACUUACAAUUUUAGUUUUGUUUCAGGUACUUUAGAGGACCAUGGCAAGGUGAAGGCGUGAUCACACACAUCAUUGAUUUUAUGAUUGAUUGGAUCUUGGGAGACUCUGUUUUUGAAUAAUUUUUCGAAAACAAUGAUUAUGUAAACACUUCUUUUCAGUAAAUGGGUUGUUUUAAAAAGUUUAAAUUUAUUGUGGUUUUGAGAUGUUACAUAUAAUAAUCAAGUAUGGUCUUGAUGUAUCUUCCUCUUUAUAGCAAGGCUAGAAGGAGUAAGAGAUUCUUUUAGAAAGAAUAAAUACAUGGAUAUCAUACACAUUUAGCAAGGCAUGUCAUAAAAUGAUUUUAUCAUACUCGUAUCAUUGACUAUGGUCCUAUCAUACUCAUGACAUUAACUAUGAUCAAACUUUUUCAGAAGUAGCUAUGAUUAGAUCAACAAGGAUAUUAUUUACUAUUACUUUAUAUUCUUAAUAUGAAGUAAAGCACUUCCUAGGCUCUCCUAGGAUCUCACCUCACCCUGCCAUCAGCUGACUAAAGACCCUCAUCGGUGCCAAUUAACUACUUCAUGAAUACAAUCACAUGCAAAAUAACUUAAAUAAUCUUAGAUUAAAAGAUUCAACCCUACAACGGUUGGACUCAUACAAGAUUUGCACAAUAAGAACAAAUCCUUCACUCUAUGAUUAUUAACCCAUGUAACAUGUGACUUAAUAUAUUCAAUUAAUAGUUAAUUCACACUCGAAAGAGUCCUACAAGAAACAAGCAAGUAACAUUCGAUCAAUAAAACUCUAUAGGCAUAAGGCAUUAUAAUUCAGGAAAUUCUAGUAUGCAAUUCCUGAAGAUCCCUACCCUAUAACUAGCAUGCAGUUCUAUCAUAAGCAAAUUACGGUGUGGUUAUCUUAGAGGUAUACUUUCUUGCUUCGGAUGAGCGUACACAUUUCAUCAUUCUUUGGUUACCCUUGAAAAACAUAUCCGAAAACAAUUUUGAAAAUUAUUUUGAAAACUUUUACAUACUCUGGAUUCGUACGAAUGUUCAUACAAUUCUCUCAACCAGGGAUCCGAUACCAACUUUUAACAUCCCAAAAAUCAAGGUAAAUUUUUUUUCAAGACCAAUCUAAAAACCAUAGAUGUUUACAAAACAUAGUUUCUAAAAGUUAUAAUAAUGAACCGAGUAUCCCAAAUCAAACAUCAUAAAAUACGAUGGAUGUGUAUGAUUGAGCCUUUGUCCUAUCCUUUGAAGUACCUGAAACCAUAACAAUCAAACUGUAAGUCAAAGCUUAGUGAGUUCCCACAAAGUACCAUACACAACCAUAUGGAUAACAACAUGCAUACCGGGUCCACAAUUAUCAGAUUGGAUUACUCCUGAGCCUACAACAUGAAUCUGGCUUGCUCCCAGGUUUGUUGGCUUCCGCAUAGAGCAAUAUUGCUUCAACCCUACGGUGCUAUAUCGACAUAUGCAAUAGGGAUGUCAACGGGGGCAAACGGGACGGGGAGUGCAUCCCCCGCCCCCGCCCCCAAAUUUUCCUUGUUCCCUCGUUCUUGCCCCCGCCCCCGAAAUGUAUAACCUUCUUACCCCCGCCCCCGAUUGAUUUUCGGCUGCCUUUUUUUUUGGUUAAAAGAAGUUGUUAUUUACGCUAAAAGAAACUAUUUUUUAGGUAACAAAUAAUUAUUUGUAGUAAAAUUUUACAUGUUAAAAAUAAAAAAAUUAUGGCAUCUUAAAAACAUUAUACUAACAAUUUAAAAACAUGUUUUUUUUAAUGAAUUUUGGAAGCUCAAAAUCAUGUUAUAGUUUAUUAUAUUUAUAUAAUUGAUAUAUGUAAAUAUUAGUGUAAUUUAUUAACGGGGUCCCCAUGGAGGUUUCGGGACAGGAUUGUCUACCCCCACUCCCGCCCCCGAAAUUAAAAUGGGGGUUAACCUUGCCCCCGCCCCCGAUUUUUUAAAUUUUUUUCCCCAAACGGGACGGGGGCCCCAUGGGAACGGGAUCCCACAGGACUUUUUGACAUCCCUAAUAUGCAAUAGAUACAUAAUCUAGUGGGACGAUAUUGGUGCUUUCAACCUAUAAGUACAAUGAAGAAAAUUCACUUGAAAUGAAAGACCAAGAAACACUACCACAUGCUUCCCUUUUGCAUUGCUUGCUCCCAUGAGCCAUCUAUCACCAAAACAUGGAAGAGUCUUGAUCAACAGCCAAAAUCCUUCAAGUUUGACCUGAAGUCAAACAGGUCAAAUAGAUAACGGUCAAACUUGAUCAAAGUCAAAGCCACAUCGUGGCUAUGCCAAAAUAGGACAAUCGUGAUUUAUUGUGCUAAGAGAGAUUUUCCUAACUAAAAUUAAAACCAACCUACAUAUAUGCAAAUCUUGUAAUUAUAUGUAUUCAAAUCUUGUAAAUAUAUGUAUUGGAGGGUAUUCAUAGAGUUUGAUUUUGUUCUACGUAUAUUUUAUUAUUGAUUACGUCAUAUAAGCUUUAUAUUAAAGCAAAUAUUAUUAUUUUCUGGAAAAAAUCGUGCCCAUUGUUUAUAUAUAUUUCAGUGAUCCCAUAUAAACAACCUAAGUUGAAAUUUCCCUUUCAUCCUAAAUGCGGAAUAUGGAGGCCGGAGAGCCAUCCUACAGCGGCGGUGAAGACUGCUCCGAUGAUAUUGAAGGAAACAUUGCCUACAACAUUGGGUUCUAUUUGGUCUCUCUGAUGGAAUAAUUCAGAAAUAGAUUUAAUUGUUUUAAUGUCAUGUUUUUAUUUUAUGUUGAAUAAUUCAAGCCAUGUUGGAUGUAGAAGUCCGAGUCUUAAGCCAGUAAGGGUAGUUGCAGAAAUUUUAGCAUUUUUCUUUGUUUAAAUCGAUAGCUAGUGUGAACGUUGUGAUUAUCACUUUUUCCUGCAAUUCAGUAAAUAAAAGGCUUCAAAAGCUAUAAGCUUUAAGCAGUUCUUGGUGCUCUGUUUCUUUUGUGUUACUAUUUCAUUGCUAUACCUAUGACAACCUGAAAUUUUGUUCUGUACAAACAUUAGCACUUCAAUAGAAGUCAGAAUAGUUGCAGUAACUUUUCAGACUUUUCAGUAUAAGUUUGAGUAUUUCAGGAUUUACACUUAAAGAGAUAUCAGGAGAGAGGAUGCGCUAGGGUUACGUGCAACUCUGUUAUUUCAAAACUCUAUGAUAUUAGAGUUCAUUUCUUGAAUAAAAUAUUUUCUGCCAAAAAUCCCAGGAGUAUAUAUAGGAUUCUGAGCCAUAUUUAUUCAUUAGUUCCAUUUCCAACUAGAGAAAAGCAGAUUCUCUCCCACGGAUCUUCGGUUUUUCAUCCCAAAUCGUGAGUACCUCUCUCUAGUUGUAUUAUAGAGCUUAAUAUGUGCUUAAUAAUAUAAAAAUCAUGUCCAAACAACAAGAUUUAAGAGUUUACCGCCCAAGAACAUCUUGGACCGUAAACCCUUUUAUAAGGGAGAAAUGAGGGCCUAGUCCUUUCCUCUUGAUAUGAAACUAUGCUAGGCUUGUAUGUUAGUGUAUAUAGGACUAGAAAUCACCCAUGAACACCAAGAGUAAGGUGUUUACGGCCCAAGAAGUUCUUGGACCGUGAACUCCAAACUCAAGGGCCAAAAGGUGCCUUAAUCACCCCUAAAGCCUUGGACAAUAGCCUUGAUUUACUCCGAGUUAAUUUAGGGACUUUAAAUCAUCAAAAAACCCAUCCUAAAGAGAGAUUACGACCGUAAUCUCUAAUGCUUUUGGUCCUUGGGGCCGUAAACUCCUCAAAGGAGUGUAUUUAAGCCCAAGUAGGAAUGCUUCUAGGGAUCAUUUAGAACUUCAAAACACCAAAUGACAUCAAGCUUAGGAGCUUACGGCCGUAAAAUCAAGGGUUUAUGACCGUAAACUCCUUGUGUGAGGUUUCUUGGAGAGUAAACUCAUGUAUAGGGUCCUUUGGAACCCUAAAACCCCUAGCAUUGACCUACAACAACUUAGAUGCAAUCCUUAGGGCUAAUAACACUUAUUAUAAGUGUUUAACAUGUUCUAGGAGGUCUAAACAUUUUCAAUUAGUAAUUUAAAGCUAAUUGGGUACAUUUAUGUGUGAUUAUAUGUUAACUAGGAUCAUAGCGUGUGUUCAAGACUUCACUUGACACCUAGCAAUCCUACAUCUUCAGUACAUCCGUAUCACUCACUACAGGUGAGUUCAUACCCCUUAAUCAAUGGUUUAAAUGUUUUUAAACGCUUUUAUGGGGGGGGGGGAAUACAAGUCAAAUACUUAUAGUUAUUAAAUCAAUCACACGUGAUUAAUAACUACUAAACCAGUGAUCUUUCUUACUGUUCAAACUGUUUUGCUUCAAACUGUUUUACAAAUUCUUAUAUUUGUCAAAUACAUUUACUUAAGCUCUGUUAUACUUAUUAUCAAUUGCAUGUGUAGGUAUGUAUAGUUAUAUAAGCAAUGUUUAAAAAGCUUAGGACGGCUUUCUCGCCUUAUUUCCUUUUCGCCGUUGAGAUGUGGUCUGGUGGGGUAUCGGGUAUCCGUCCGAAGGUCGUUUAAUCAUUAGUUAUAUAUCAUGUGUACAUACAUCGUCAAAAAGGUUCUUAAAGUUCAUUCAAUACCCUUGGGUAGCAUGGGUAUACUUCCAUGUUCAUACGUACCAGUACAUCACUAGUAAGUUACCAUAGGGGUAGCACAGGAGGAUACAUUUACUAUUACUAGAACAAUGAAACAUACAAUGAGUCAGUUCAUUCAUGAGUCGGUACGGGUAAUACAUACAGUACAUUACUAUACAUGCUAGAUAGAGAGAACAUACAUUACAGCUAGCACACACAGAACAUUUCAGUACAUUACUAUACAUGCUAGAUAGAGAGAACAUACAUUACAGCUAGCACACACAAAACAUUUCAGUACAUACAGGCAGACAGAGAAAGAGUACACCUUUCAGUUAGCACAUUCAUUACAUGUACAUUUAUGCAGUUAUGUGAACCGUUAAGCGGGGCAUGGCACUUCCUUCCAUGACCGUUUUUGUAUCCUGAAUUUCCUUAAUUAGGGAGCGUAUGAGUUUGCGUAUAGAUCUAUACUGAAUUGACUAUCCUACACCUUGUUGCUCGCUACAGUGGGACUUGCAAGUCUAUGGGUGCCAAAGGUCAUUUCUUACGGCGUCUUACAUCGGCGUUUUACUAGAGUCAGUAGCAGGAUACAGGUCGAUCACGUGUUUUAUUGAAUACCUUUUGUUUUUAAGGUAGUUAGUACAACGGUAGUCACUUAUUACAAAUACUACGGUACUUUGAUAUUUUCCCAUUACAUUCACUUCGUGAAUAUUCACACGAUGCAUGGUAAUGUAGUAACUAUAUUUUUGGUUAAUGAUAGUCCGAAUUGGGAAAACACACACACUCUAACAAGAGACAUACACACAGACACUAGAUGCCUUGGUAGAAGGCUAUAGUUAGUAGGAAACAUAGGGUUUUCUAGGAGAGUUCAAACAUUUUACAAAACAUUUUACAAAUGCUUUCAUACAAAGACAGACAUUAAUAUACUUAUGAUCUCACCAGCUUUAAGCUGAUACUCGCUUUCAAAAUAACUUGUAUUCUCAGGUCACCACUAGACAGGUACAGGUGCCAGGCUUUUGAGAAGAUGGAGUUCGUUCAAGACUCAUCUGUUAUUUUUGAUAUGUAUAUUUUUGGUGUCUAUAACUUUGACAGAACACACAUGAAUAUACUAUUAAUGCAAUGGAUGAUGUUGUUGCUUGUUUACUAUUAUUCAUUGUUUGUGAUACUAUACAUGACGUCCUCUGCCCCAGAAUGUUUCCGCCAUUCAUGGUUUUGGGGUGUGACAAUACCCUUGAUAACAGGUUUGUGAAAAACCAACAUUUGGUAUCAGAGCAUACUUGGUACAUGCCCAAAUAUCAACCUAGAAAAGAAGAAAUGGCAGGCAGUGGCAGCAAUGGGAAUGGUGACAAAGAUGGGCAAAUCACUCUACACUAUCCGAUGUUGACUAGAAGCAAUUACAGUGCAUGGGAAAGUAAGAUGAGGGUCUUUAUGUUGGCUCAAGGUGUUUGGGAUGCAGUAGAACCCAGAACAGCCAACACUCUCGUUGAAACAAAGAAGGAUAACAUGGCAUUGAAUUUGAAGCGUUAAGCAUGAAAGAGAUGGAAUGUGUUGAUGAUUUCACUGGGAAAGUGAUCAACACUGUAAGUACUCUACGCACCCUAGGAGAUAAGAUUGAAGAGGCUCAGGUAGUGAAGAAAUUACUUAGAGCUGUAUCAUCCAAAUUCAUCCAGAUUGCCUCAACACUUGAGCAAUUUGGAGAUUUGGAAUCUAUGUCUGUCGAGGAAGUAAUUGGUAGGCUUAAGGUGUAUGAAGAACAUAUGAAAGGCAGCAGCGAGAGUGACAAUCGGAAACUCUUAUUGACCCACAAAGAAUGGACCGAGAAAUACAAGAAAAGGGCAGACGGAGACUCGAAACAAAGUUCGAAUCGUGGUGGCUUUAGUAAUUCUCGUGGUGGCAGAGGCAGAGGCAGAGGCAGAGGAAGGAAUGGAAGUGGCCGUGGUGGUCGUGGAAGGGGAAAUUCACACCAUCAGAAAGAAAGAGGUCAAGGUUCAUCAAAUAAUCGAGACAAAAGCGAAAUUCAGUGUUAUAAUUGCCAAGAAUUUGGCCAUUAUGCCGCUGAAUGUAAAAAUCCAAGAAAGGAGCGAAGUCAUGAAAGCAAUUUAAUUCAGGAGCAUGAAGAUAAUGAACCUGCACUCUUAUACGCAGCAUAUGAAGAUGAGAGCCUAGUGUUCCUGAAUGAAGAAAAUCUCAGUCCCCAUUUGAGAACCCAUGGCAAUCCAAAGAAAUCAUCUUGCAUAUGGUACCUGGACACAGGUGCUAGUAAUCAUAUGAUUGGAGACAAAACCACAUUUAGGAAUUUGAAUGAAUCAAUUCAUGGUUUUGUGACAUUUGUAAACGAGUCAAAAGUAAGAAUCGAGGGAAAAGGCUCGAUAGUUUUCAAAUGCAAGGAUGGUGGGUGUCGAAAAUUAGAUGAGGUGUACUACAUACCCGACUUAUGUAGCAACAUCAUUAGCCUGGGUCAAUUAGCAGAAGGAGGAGAUGAGAUAAAAAUCAAGGAUCUAUUCUUAUGGGUUCAUGAUUCAAUUGGAAAUUUGCUUAUGAAAAUGAGAAGAACAACAAAUAGACUCUACAAGAUAGAGUUAGAAGAAGCCACUGCAGUAUGCUUUGUUGCUGAAGCUGGUGACCAAACGUGGCUAUGGCACAAAUGGUUGGGACAUACAAACUUCACUUCAAUGAAGCAAAUGAAGGAUAAGAGACUGAUUGAAGGAAUGCCACAGAUCAAAAUUCCCUCACAACCUUGUGAAGGCUGCUUGGUGGGAAAGCAGACAAGGAACUCAUUUCCGUUUAAAACAAACUUCAAGGCACAUAAAAAGCUUGAGUUAAUCCAUGGUGACUUAUAUGGGCAAAUCUCCCCUCCAACACUUUCUUAAUCUCGAUUUCUUGCCUUAUGGUAGCACAGCUGCCCACCAUGUCUUCCAAGUCGUUAAGCAGCUCACCUUUUCUUAUCAAUGUACUUUCCAUUGAUCAAGGUCCUUGCCUUUUAUGCAUUCAAAUGAGAACUCAUAGGAUUCACAUGCAUAAUUAACUCGAUUCGAUUGGCAUAGAAACAAAAUAAUGUCAACACGAUAGGUUGUAAACCUCAACUCGUGUGCUAGUGAUGAUCGAUAAGGUUUAUUUGAUUUGUUCUUGAAACCUUUCAAGACCAUUAAGACUCCCACUGACUCCUUGACAUAUAAGAUUCUCUUGUCAACAACCAUUUCUUGACAAACAAAUAUUCAAGAGUUAGUGUAGCUUUUAUCAAACACUUCAUAAAUUGGUCCUAGUUGGUCUUUGUCUUAUCCAAUACAUCACAACUUUCCACAUUUGAUGAAUGUUAUAAACCUUCUUAAUACUUAUCACUCAAUUUCACAAUCUUAACUCUAAGACUUGUUUUUGGAACGAAGUAUGAUUGACUUCUUGAUUUAACCAUUUCUUCAAUUCUUGAUUCCUUUUCUUAGACAUACAAUUGUACUAAGACUCACUUAGAGGAUCAAUUGAGAUAUGGUUCUUAAUCAUUAAGACCCAUCAUAAAGCAUAAAAGGUACUCUCCGUUCUUCUUAGAAUGGAGAAACUUUUAUCUUUCUGCCUACUUGAUUCUUCUUAUUCGUUCUACUAUUGAUUUAAACCUUUUUUCAAUCAAUCUAGAAUUACACUUAAUCUUGUAAGUAUAAUCACAUUUACUCUUAUGGUGGACUUGAUCAACACGCAACUUUGUGUGCUCGAUCUCCUAGUCCUUCACUUGACACUUUGUCAAUGAAUUAGUCUAAUUUCCAAAUGUGAAAUUUCUCAUUCAUCGUGCAACCAAGUUGCAUGAUUCCAAGUUUCUGUCCAAUUGAAACUUGGGCGAUGAGAAACUCUCCCUAUUUGGUAAAUUCUCGACUUUCCAUAAAUAACAUAAUAAGAACCAAAUCCAUUAUUGCUAAUAAUAGAAACAUCCAAACAUCAAUUUUUCAUAUACGCCAUUGCAAGGAUAAAUAAAUAAUAUAAAAUCAAAAUUUAUUUUAUUGCGGAAAAAUUUUUGUCCUUACAAUGCAAUUCAUUGAAAAACUAUGCUAAUACAUCUUUCUUAGCAAUCUAAUUCUAACUCUAAGUAGUAGCUCAAGAAUCUAAUCUUCGAGAAAUGCGAUCGAAAUCCAUUCCUUCACGGUUAGAUUCUGCUCACUUCUUCCCUUAAGCUUCCUUUCUUUUCUUCGAUCCUACAAAACAUCAAUUGUAAUCUUAUCACAUUAUGUAUUAAGAAUCUAGAAUAGAAGCUUAAAAGAGUUAGUCAAUGGAUUUUACCUAAAGCAAAGCCAUACGUUUUGACUCUCCCAUCUCUUAGAUCUCUUAGGUAAAUAGGGCAGCUUCGUCUCCAAUGCCCUUUCUCUUGGCAAUAACAGCAAAUUGACUCUUUUGGAACAUGACAUGGAACUACUUCAGACAUUGCCUUUCUCUUAUGAUCAAACUUUUCGAUCAUAGCAUGUCUUUCGUUGCCAUUGUCUAUAUCCAUAGAGGUCUUGAAGGCAGAUUCACC
RNAcentral lists this long non-coding RNA (56135 nucleotides) under Lactuca sativa (garden lettuce). RNAcentral's name for it is "long non-coding RNA (LSAT_LNC001871)". The record is from RNAcentral. Lineage: Eukaryota; Viridiplantae; Streptophyta; Magnoliopsida; Asterales; Asteraceae.